Molecule: long non-coding RNA, 75083 nt
Filed under: Phoenix dactylifera (date palm)
Lineage: Eukaryota; Viridiplantae; Streptophyta; Magnoliopsida; Arecales; Arecaceae
Description: long non-coding RNA (PDAC_LNC000309)
Source: RNAcentral
ACUGCUAGCUUUUUCCUAUACAUAAACAUUUUUUUUGCUUAAGUGUUAGUUUGAAAGCAAUAUAAGAAAUGUUAUAACUUUGGAGAAGACAAGCAUUAGUUUGCUUCAAAGGGUGUGAACAUUGCUACAAGCGCGAGCUCUAAUACCAAAACUUUUCCUGCACCACUAGCAUGCCACAUGGCAUGGGGGUUGGUGCAGCCACCCGUGAAUGCAGUUAUUAGGUACUCAACCUACAGUUUAGACAAACAGAUGUUGUAGCAUUAUAACGUCCAUGGUGGGGGAGGGAGUUUGUUACAUUAUAUAUGUUAAUAGCGGGUAUUUAAAUAGCAAAAGCAGCAGGGAGCCCUGGUCCAGGAGCGACCAGCAACUAGCGGAAGCUUUGCAGGAUGUGAGGGAGUAAGAACUAAGGACUCGUUUAGUUCGUGGGAAGAAUUUUGUCUCACUAGAAUGUUUUUUCUAAGAAGAUGAUUUCUAGGAAUAUGAUGCAUGAAAAAAUGGUUUUGGCAUGUUAAGUUGAUUAUGGAAAAGUGGCACAUUCUAGAAUGGCUUAUGUCAGGGAAAGUUGUAUAAAAUACCUUUAUAUCCUUAAUAAAGGGAAAGGUCUUUUCUAUGAAUUUUGAUGGCUUAAGGGUACUUUUGGAGAAAAAAAGGAAACCCCAAUUUUCAAUUGCCAAAGAAGUGGCUUUUCUAUUCUCCCAUGGGUUUUUCUUUUUCAUAAAACAUGGAAAUCUUAUUUUCAUGGGAAAGCUAUUUUCUUAUCUCUCUUUUUUGAAAAUUCCAACCAAACAAGAGGUAUUUCUUUGUUUUUCUAUUGACUGCACUUUUUUCUUCUUCUUUUCUAGCGAACCUAACGAGUCCUAAGAAGGAACCAUAAGAUGAGAGAAAGUGAGAUCCUAUGACAGCAAACAAUUUGAUACUUCACCAAAAAUAUGAAUCAACCAACACUUCUAAUCAAGGUUCGUCGAAUCGGUACGGAGACCUGUACCGGUUGGCGAUCGGUACGGUUCAGUACCGGUUCGAACCGAAUGGAACCGUCCGGUUUUGUCAAUUUUCGGCCGGUUCCGACCACAUCCAAUCAGGGCUAGGGGCCGGAACUGUUUUUCAUUGGAGAACCGAUCCGGUCGGAGACCGGAUCGGCUCGGUUUGGGUUGAACCGGCCGGUAUAGCUCGGUUCAGCAAUCAUUGCUUCCAACUAAUACUUCUGCCUAGAUAUAGUAGGUUGGCAACCAUCUUGCAUUGUGACCAUUGGUCAAUAAAAAGCAUGGCAGCUGUUUAACACACCUUAUGCUACGAGGAAACUUAGGGAGUAUUAUAACAUUACCAAAUUGAGAAUGUUGCUUGUUUUUAGACAUGUUAUGUUUCAUAUUUUUCAAUUUUAAGAAUAUUAUAAAAUUAUUGCAUACACCUCUAUGGUUUGAGAGACAGAAAGCGAACAUUAAUCAUUAUAAAUCCAAUUUUUAUAAAGAUUGAGAAUAGAUAACAUUGUGUUUUGCAAAUGUGACCUUGAAGUGUUCUUCCAUUUUCAGUUCAAUUGCUUAUUAUUUAUGAUGGAGUGUGCAAGGUAAUUGUGAAUAUCUGAUAUGCAUAGACAACAUUGAGAAGUUAUUUACGUUAUCUCUAAACUGUGAAAAUGCAAGGUAAUUGACAUAUUUGAUACUCAAAUCAAUUUUUCCAUCAAUUAUCCAAAUUGGUUGUUUGCAAUCUGGCUUUCACAUCAACCGCGCCAAAUCAUCCAUGGCAUGAUAAUUAAGAGGUGAAGUAUGCUAUCUUUUAGUUGUUUGUAAUCUCGCUUUCACAUCAACUGCGCCAAAUCAUCCAUGGCAUGAUAAUAAAGAGGUGAAGUAUGCUAUCUUUUAGUUGCAUUUCCUUUUCUAGUUUUCAAUCAAUUUUCUUAAUAAAAAGGAAUUUUUUCAAUUUUUGGUCAUGAAAAUAAUGUUGCCUGACUAUGAACUGGAUUUUAAUAAAUUUCUUAAACGAUUAAGCUAUUGAACUACUCAUGUAUAGCAUGUUUCGGUUUCCUUUUUUUUUGAUGUAAAGGGAGGCAAAAAGGAGCCACCCAAUUUCAGUUUCCUAGUAAUGCAUAAUGAUCAAGCAAUGCGAGUUCUCCUGUUGGACAUUAUAUACUAAUUUAAAGAGUAGAUUACAAAAUCCCCUUAAGGUUUAUCUUUAUUAUACUUACACUUAAUUAUUUGUAAACCAACAAUUUUACCUAGUCAAAUUAACGGUGUUAGUGAAAGCUUUACCUCAUAUAAAAAAUCAAAAUUGCCCUUGGAUGGGAAGGAGGAUGCACAUGUUUUCUUAUGUCCUUGGGUGGCCGUUAUGUCACUUAAAGUUAUUGUGGUCAUUUACGAAAUUUUUUCUGACAUAGCAUUUAGGUCUCGUUUAAGGUUAACAGUUUGAUAAACGUUUUGUUAAGUUAUGGGUUUAAGUGUUGGAUAGAAAUAAACCUUUGGGAGUAAGCAUAGUUUUUUCAAACUAUUAAAUGUAAGAAUAAUUUACCCCUAAUCUUAGGGGUUUUUUGUAAUUUACUCUAUUUUGAAUUGAUGAAAGUCGAUAAAGUCCUAUAAGCAAUGAACCCCCUAUAGUUAGAAAGCACCUGCCUAGGCUUAAUGUAUCCCGUGUUCAACUUGCUUAGGUCUAGCUGCCCAGGUUUAUGCAGGCCAACCACCUAACUAGUGCCAAGCAAACUGCAUGUACCUAGGUGUCUCAAGUGAGUUAAAUUUGACAAUUUUUCCUUUUCUCCUCAAUUGGUUGGGUAUUAGGCAGACAGGUUAGAGUACUAACCAUUUAGGCCACGAGGUCAUAGCUCCUUGUCUCUUACUGCUGCUCCGAAUCCUUAGUUACAAGUUAUAGGUCCCGUAAAAUCUUUUGUUAAUUGUAAUUUCAGCUUAAAAUUGGCUGCUUGUCAUUUGGUAGAGUUGCCUGUUGCAUUAAAUUAUAUUGGACACUUGUUCUUCUGGAUGAUUAAUAAAUAUUUUUCAAUAAAUUUAGGAAAAAAGUAAUGUUAGUAGUUAAUGUCUUGCUAAUCUCAUUUAGGUCCUUAGGAUAAUUUACAUCUAUGUACGGAUUUAAGGAUGUGCCUGACUUUUACCUAAGUGUUGACUUGCUGCAUAAUAUAACUGCCUUUUAAAACAGCCGAAGCACUAGCAGACCACUGUAAAAGUCAGCACUUAGGUAAAAGUUGCAUUUUUUGUCUAUGCACGCAUUUACCUAUGUGCCUCACUUAGCUAUAUGGGCCCAAGCAUCAUGUCUAUUUAAGCACAAAGCUUGGUGACUCAUGCUGCUGUGCAACACCCUUUUUAAAGAACCAUUUUUUUAUAUAUUAAUGACAGUUUAAGUAUCUUCUUUCUUGAUGGAUGGAACCAUUUAUUCAAGUUUUGUACAACAUCAAGAUAGACUUGGAAGCAGAAAGAAACUGCACAACUGCCAACUCCAGGCUCAGGAAUCUCCAGCAAAGCCUUUCUGCAAUUAGGAAAAAGGAAAAGACUGUACUAGCAAGGAGCUUGUAUUUCCCCUCCACAUCCCAGUAGUUGUGCAAUGAUUUGUCUCUGAGCAUUGACAAUCCUAUCUAUGAUUCUAUAUGCACUAUGUACCGACAGAUUUCCAUGGGUGGAAUUGAAUGUUUGGGUGGGGGAGUGGGGGUUCAAGUUCUUAUUCUGAAAAGCAGGCGUUGGUGAAACAAAUGAUAAAGAGAAAACACCCAGUAUCGAUAUCAAUGUUGCAAAACCAGUGCAUAUAUGACUGCCAUAAAUUGGUUGCUUCUCUUUGUAUGGAGGGUGUGGGCAGGUGUCCUUUCAGUGAAUUCUUUAUUUGAUUACUGCUGGUUCAGAAAUUAAAAAGAAAAAUAUAAUGAUUCAACAACCUUCAAAAGUGCCCCUUUUCUUUUUUUAUUUACUAAUCUUUUGCAGAUGAAUACCCAACUGCAUUCUUUUAUUUUUUUUAUUAACCAAGUGAUAGACAGAUAAUAAGGAAUUAAGGACCAAAAAAUCUUUGCAUGGAAGCAUGUUCAUGGAGGGGAAAAAUGAGUGAAGUUGUCGAGAUCAGACCCUGGAAUAUGUGGUAUGAUGAUAUGGUUACGAGGAACCGUCAAAAUGUGGCUGUUGAUAUCAUGGCCGGAGGCAUAGGGCACCAUCAAUGCAGAAUUUUCUGAAAUUUGUUGUAACAUGCUUGUUUAGCUAGCUACUGUAUCACGAAAUCAGUUUGAACAUUUUGAUAUUUCCAAAUUUCCUUUUUGUUAUUGUUAGUUCUUGUCAAACAAGUAGCUGGAAUAACCACUAAUUGAAAUCUGAAACUUCUUAAAAUGUCAUCCACCUUGGUUGCCCUUAAUGCAUCUAGCAUCAUGAUUCUGGGAUCAUCAAGUUGAAUAAUUUCUUGUUUGUGUAUACAUUCAAAGACAUAGUUUUUGCUACUUUUAGUGCGAAAGAAAUUAGUCAUUAUUUCUGCUGGACAAGUAAAUUCAUGAAAGUGACUUUGAUAUACUAGUGAGUUUGUUUGGUCAGUCGCAUCUUGAAAAGCUAGUCUUUUUUUGAUUUUUUCUUUUAAUGACUUUGUUUUCAUUUUGCAGGUUAAAAAUCUGAUUGAAAAACCUGAGAAUGAUCAUCUGCCAUUGAUUGAAGCUAGCAGGUAUGGUACUGGCGCUGCAUUUACCUUUUCUCAUCCACGAUCACUAAUUUUGAAGAAUGAUUGACAAUUGACAAAAUUUUGCACCCAAGUUGAACUUUCUGCUCAGUUUUACAGGUUUAGAAGGGUUGGGAUUUGGUACUGGUAUUGGUGCUUACUAGUUUGUGACUUCAUCAAUUUGUUCUCUUACAAUCUGAGUUGAGAAGAGAGCAUCAUGAUCAUUUUAUAAUGUUUCAACCCAUUGUUGGAUCCAUAGGAUCAGCUGAUCAUACCCAUUUUCAACGCUGCUUAGGAAAUUGGAUGCCUGAUUGCUGUUGUAUCACGACUCUUUCUUCCACCAUGAGCGAAUUGUUGAAAGACUUAAAUUGCAUCAACUCCUUUAUUGUUCUAGGAUUAUGACCAUUAAGAUUAUAAUAUGAACAAAAUGUAUUCCAGUUCUUGCAUGCAUACUGCCGAAAUCUGACUGUCUCCCUCUUUCAAGUACACAAAGAAAAGCACUGCAUUUUACUCUAAUUGUAGACAAAAAUCAUUUUUCCUGAAUUGCUGAUAAUAAUUUCAAGCUGUGAAGAAUAAUUGGAUCAAUUCUGUAAAGAAUCAGGCUGCAUUAAGUUUUAUGUCAUGGUGAAGCUGUCCUACAUUAUACAUGGCUUGUGGUGGCUCAGCCCUCAUUUACCACAUUUACUUUUUUGGAUUGUCAUUAUUUGUAGGAAUAAUAGGAAAUGCAGGGAAAAGAAGACUUUAUUUUCUUAGUUCAUGAUACCCUUCUAAUAUUCUUUUGCAUUGUGAAUGAAUGAUAUAUUUUCGAGUCUCUUUCUAGAAGGGAAUAGAUAUUCUGCUAACACUUUGGUGCUGGAACAACAGGCUGUGCAACAUGGACAUUCUCUCAAAGGUACAGCAAGUCAUCUGUUUUGCAUUUCAUGACAGCAGAUUGCUCAUGGAGACCUGCCAGGAGGCAAAGAAUCUUCGAAAAAUUGUUACUCUCUUUUACUUGGAUUGAUCAUAUACAUUGAUAAGAGAUUCUAACAUUUGCUUUUAGGCUGGCAGAUGGGGAUCCUUCCCUCAAUUAUUACUUUGUUUUCUUAUCAAUGUUUUUUGGGGAAUUAGAUGUAUUUGUCCUGGGGAUAGAAGGGAGGCAUUUCAUUAUUUUCAUUCUUGGAUAAAAGGCAGCAGAAGAUGCAAUGAAGUUGUCAUUGUUUAUUGGUGCAUGCAAGAAAUUUAUAUUGCUGUCAAUGGCUAUAGUUUUUGUCAGAAAUAUUUUGUUUAUUUCCGAGUCAUAAUUCCAAAGCAAGCUAUAACAGGAACUUCUCUCUCCCCCUCUCUCAUACAAUGUUAUCGGAUCUUUAGGGCUUGGCAGAGUUUUAGUUGUAUACAGUCAAAAACUUCAUAAGGACAAUUUCAGCUGUAAAAUUUUUGCAGAAAUGACCUACUCUAUUUUUAUGUUUUUUAAAUCAAUUCUGAACUUAUUUGUUUUUUCUGCAAAACUGACCAUUUUUUAAAUUUUUGGACACUUUUAUCCUUGCUUCAAAAAUAUACACUCUAGAGUCUAGACAUUGCACACUUAACAAAUGCGAAUUCAGCAUUAAAAAUAUUUAUAACUGUAUUAAGAAAAUGUAUGUGUGCACGCUUAACAAAUGUGAAUUCAGCAUUAAAAAUAUUUAUAACUGUAUUAAGAAAAUGUAUGUUUGCUAUCGAAAUAUGUGCAUUUAUUGUUUGUUUAUAAAAAACAAUGUGUAUUCAACUCCAUUUAGACAUAUGUUUUUGGCUGGAGUAUUUGCGCGAGACAUAUUAACGUAUCUUAAAAUUUUAAAAUUGGACUGUCCCUACCCCCCGCAAUAAAAAAACAGGAAAGGAAAAAAAAUCUGAAUGCCAAGAAAGAAAAAAAUGGUCUCUUAUGUGCAAAAUUCCAUUUUGUGUGGUAUCAGCUCAUAUUAAACAGGUUGUUGUUAAUGGUGGCUUCACUUUUCCUUUUUCACUUUUCCAAUAUUCUAUCCCCGUUAAUAAAUAGAGGUAAUAAUAUCUUCAGCUGGUGUUGGAACUUGGCCUUGAAUUUUCAGAAAUAAAAGAGCAACUCGAAAAAUUAUUGAAUAGGUUUGUUGGGGAAUAUAUCAGGUUGAAUUUAAUACUUGGAUCAGAUCAAAGAAAGAUAUAAUUUGUAUGUCACAAUUAUAUUCAUGUGAACAACCUUCCUAUCUGGUGAUCAUGGUAUAAUGAUGAAAAAUCUAGGGCAUGCGAUGGCAAAUGAUAAAAUAAUGAGCAGAUCUCUCAGAUAAUCGUUAAUUGGUUGGACGAGGUACAUAAUUAAGAUGUAGGCAUAUCUGGUUGGUAGAACUAUCGAAUGUUGGUGUCAUUGUUUUUUCAGGGUUUUUAGUAAGGGUUAUUGGGUAGUAAUCAUUCACGAAUGUAUUAAGUGGCGCCUCUGCAGAUUUUUAUCACGUCCUCUCUAAAAUUGCUACUUGUGUUAACCAUGGUUUGUUUGGUUUCCUCACAUGUACAAAAAGGUGAAUAUAGAUGGAAAUACAAUAUUUUUGAAUGCAAUGCAGUCCAUUAAACAUCAUUUUUAAAGCAAACUCCUUGAUUGCACUGAUUUGUCCAAAAUGUCUUGUAUGAUUUUCAUUUUUUUUUUAUAAUGAUCAUAUCUCUGAAAAUUGAUAAAAGAAAGCACAACAUAGUUCAUAUCUAAAUUGAAUAUCACAGAGAUGAAGUCCUCAAAUUCUUACUACAGUUCCAUUGUAAGUACAUUCUUCUCUAAACCAACAUACCCGAAAAAUAAUGUAUAGGAGCUAAAAUAAUGUAUAUAUUUAUCAAAUUAGUUGUAAUGCAUGUGAUAACUAAAAAUCUUAGAUAUAGGGUAUGUUUUAAUAAGAUUAUAAGUAUGGGCGAGGUAUUAACAACCUUCUUCGUAAAUUUUAAAAUUUAUUUUUUUUAUAUUUUUUUAAUCUAAAUAAAUUUGUAGAUUUUAUAUGAUCAUGAACCACUAUGAAUAUGAACUUUGAAGGAUAUAACAUUCUUAUUAAGUAUCAAUGUUGUUGGAAUUAUUUUUUUAAUAGAAACUUAGCAUGCUUCAAGAUUUUAAGUAUUUAUGGUAGAAAUCAAGUAAAGAAUUUCAAAAAAUUGAAAAUUUGUAAAAUGUAGCCACUGCUACAACCUACCUUUAACUUGUAAAAUAAUUAUAAAUCAAGUAAUUCACCUCUUCUAGAAUCAGAACGAGAGAAAGGAUCAGAUCUACAUCUCCGAUACUCGACAUUCAAUUAAAAAAUGAAUAAAUAGCAGAUUGUAGAUCCAAUUUUUUGCUGGUGCAUUCACUUGGAUCAUCAUUGCAUAUAUGGAUCUCCUUUAAAAAUAUUUUUUUUAAAAAAAUGAUCAAUUCAAUAAAUUGACACCCUCAAAUUAACUAUAUGUUACAAAAAAUUCAGGCAUAUUAACUUGCCUUGGGUUUUUUUUGUUGUUGAUAUUUUGACUAUUUCUUUCAGCCUAAGUAACAUGGAAAUCUACACCAUAAGCAACAUAAAACAAAAUUUCUAGCAGAUUGCAGAAUUGCAGCAAGCCAUUCACAUGCAAGCAAAACCAACCGGUCCGUAUCUUUCUUAGCGGCAGCAUCUCUGCCGAAUCCGACGGUCUUCUCUCGCCGAGGAGAACCAGGCCAAAAGAAGAAAAAUAAACCCUAAUAACUCUCUCCCCUCCCUCCGUUCCGACUCCAAAACCCGAGCUUUUUUUUCCCCCUCUACAAGCUCCCUUCCCUUCGAAUUCUCUCGUUGCCCUCCACAAGGCCUAGAUUCCUACUCCCCCUCUUCCAUGGCGAUCCGCUCAUCCCUUUGCUUCUGUAGACCCUAAUUCCUGCCCCAUGGAGUCGCUCCGAUCCAAGGAUCGGGCGGUCAUCGAAGCCUUCGCCGAGUUCGAUCCCGCGAAGUCCGCCGGCUUCCCUCCGUCCGUACCUCUCACGAUCCGGUGCGUCUCUGUCUUCGCCGCAUCGGAUUCCCAAACCCUAGUCUAUUUUGGCACCGGUGGCGGGAAGAUCAUCUUGGUGUCGUUGAAUCCAUCUUUAGCUUCCAGUUCAGGUCCCAAUCCCGCGACAGUAAAUGGAAACGGGAAGGAUUCGCCGGGUUGUGGUGUUGAUUCGACGAAAGCUGUGGAAUUUCUGAAAGCCGUGUCGGUCAGCAAUCGUUUGAUCGAAUCUAUUCACGUUCUGUCGGAGAUUGGUAGGGUUCUUGUGCUCUCUGAUGGGUUUUUGUUCGUGUUGGAUCUUUUUCUCGCGCAACCCGUGCGGAAGCUGGGUUUUAUCAAGGACGUGACGGCUGUCUCCAAGAGAAUUCCGUGCGCUGAGUCAUCGAGUUCGGAUCCUUUGGGUGAUGGAGUUCCGAAAGGUGAGAUCUUGAGGCCAGGGCAGAAGUUUUUUCAGAAGUUAGGUGGAAGCAUUAGGGCAAAUGGUAUAGGGUCUAGGAUUUCUGGACCCUAUAGAGAAGGUGCAAACAGUUGCAUUACAGCGGUGGCAGCAGGGAAAAGAUUGGUUUUGAUCGAGUUCCUCUUACCUGGAAGCGGUGAUACGGAUUCUGAUAGUGGUGGUGUUUCGGUACUUCAGAAGGAAAUUCUGGGCAUUGAUGGAGUCAGGACCAUGGCAUGGCUUGGUGAUUCGAUAAUUGUUGGCACUUCAGAUGGUUACACACUAUUCUCCGCCAGCACUGGGAAAAGCACUCCAAUCUUUAUGCUUCCUGAUUCUUCGGCCCCCCCUCGUUUAAAAUCUCUAUGGAGAAGCAAGGAGGUGCUGUUGUUGGUGGACAAUGUUGGUGUGGUUGUCAAUAGUCUCGGUCAGCCAGUUGGUGGGAGCUUGAUCUUUCAAUACAUCCCAGAGUCCAUUGCAGAGAUGUCUUCUUAUGUGAUUGUGGCAAGGGGUGGUAGGGUGGAUUUGUAUAGAAAGAAAACGAGUGCUUGUGUGCAGUCACUGUCAUUUGCAAAGGGUGGUGUCGGUCCGUGCAUUGUCGCCAUUGAUGAUCGAGGAAAUGGAGAGGUUGUUGUGGUUGCAACGCCUUAUAAGGUAGGUAGGUUUUGUAGAUUUAAAUCUUCUGAAGCUUCUCCUCAUUUCGGUUGAGUUUCAUGUAACAAGAUAAAUGCUACUCCAAUACAGAAGUUGGAUAUUACUGUACCUUACAAUUUUUUCCCCUUAUAUAUAGAUCAUUUGUGAUGUUGACAGUGUGUGGAGCAUGAGCAUGUCUCUUUUUUUUCUUUUCUUCUUUUAACAUUUUUGAAUGUGUGUGGUGGGGUGGGGUGGGGGUUGGGGUUAGGGGGUUGCAGCGUUGCACCGAUGGGUUGGACCUUUAUAUUAUGAAUCAGAUGUCAUUGAACAAAGAGAAGAGCCAUAACAUAUUGAAAUAGGGAGGAUACAAAGAAGUUGAUUCUGUUGGAAAAUUAUGCACUUUGGGAACAGGAUGUUGCCUACUUAUUCUUGAUUGGAUGGGAGUGGGACAAGCUGGAGGUGCAUUGGAUGUUAUUGGAAAGGGAAACAGAGAUAUGAGAUUAGCUAAAGACAAUACUCUAAGAUGACUUACAAAUAUAUAUAAUUACACAAGCAUCUUUUUGAGCCUAAAAUUGAAUGAAACAUAAAAAUAAAUGCUGAAAACUCAUUGGUGAAUGGUUAGGAAGCUGAUGAGAAGAAGGUUAUGCCAGUCGCUUCGAGCUACUUCCUGCAUCUAAAGAGGAAGCAAAGGUUAGUGAUAAAUUGAAAAGACAGAGGACUGGCGGUGCCACAAUGAAGACCGGUAUUUAUUGAAGUCCAGUUUUGAUAUGGUGCAACAGUAUUGUUUGGAAUGGUAAUGUAUAGGGUAAGGGGGAUGAAUUUUAGUUCAUCGUUAUUCUGUUGAAAGAAAACGUGAAAUAUGGUCUAGGAGGAUGCUGCAUGGAUUGUCGGGCAACUCCCACUGUGAAGGAUGACCUGUAGGAACUCAAUGAUAUUCGUACCUCUCAUUCCUUGUAAAGUGAGUGUUAGGUGGUGCAAGUAUGAGGUAGAACAUUUGUGGAAAUUUUGAUUAUGUGGUCUGAUGUAUAGGUAAGGCAACUGGUGUAAAUAUGGCAUAUAGCUUCAGUAGCUUUGCAAUGAAAAUUCUGUAAGUAGAGGGAUUUUUAAUGCUUUCGAGAAGACGAGAACAUUGUUACUAUGGGGCUCUAAUUGGUCUCAACUCAAAAAGAGCAUGCUUGAUUUUCUUGCUUUUCUUUUUCUGUGGUAGAGUGCUGGUGGGGGUGGGUUUAAUUAUAUCAUAUAGUUAAUAAUCCUGAAAAUAAGGAUGCUAUGCCUUGAGGUGCAAGUGUUUAGAAGGAUGUAGCUGUUAUAUUAUUCAAACGUAGUCUUGCUCAAACGAAAUUCCGGAAUAGUGAUUUGUAAUCAUAUGCUUCUUCUUCUUCUUAUAGCUUGCAUAUUCAUUUGUUUUUUGAAAAUUCUGUAUGAUGUGGAGCUUCUAUGUGUUAAAUUGACUGCUUCGCUAUGUUUUUUAAUGUAAUCUUUGAACUUUCUCAAAUAAGCAAUGAUAACAAGAAAUGAGUGUUCUGUUCUAUGUGUAAUUAAUCGAAAAAAGGCAAACUCAUAUUAUGCAUCCUUCGGGCAUGACAAAGGAUUGAUUUGCAGUUUAUAGAUUGUUUUAUCUGUUGCCUCUGUCUUCUAUUCUUGCUUUACAUUAACGCUACUAUUAAUUGACUGUCACAGGCUCUUUGCUUCUGUAAAGUUUCUGCAGAAGAACAGAUCAAAAAUUUAUUGAGGAAGAAGAAUUAUAAAGAAGCCAUCUGUUUGAUGGAAGAGUUUGAGUCUGAAGGUGAAAUGACAAAGGAAAUGCUUUCCUUUGUGCAUGCACAAGUGGGCUUCCUGUUGCUUUUCGAUUUGCAUUUUGAAGAUGCAGUAAAUCAUUUCUUGCUUUCAGAAACUAUGCAGCCAUCCGAAAUCUUUCCUUUCAUUAUGCAGGAUCCAAAUCGCUGGUCACAACUGGUAUAUGGGUGCCCUUUGAAUUCCUUUCAACAUUACUUCCAUUUGGAAAUAUCAGUCUUCUCUGAAUUAAAUUGAUUGUGCCUAAGAUUUUGCAGCUACUGCUGUUAUAUGAUUAAAUAGAAGAUUUUAAAAUUCAAACCCUAAUUAUGCUAAUUUUAUGUUUGUGAGAGCAUGGAAAUGGUUAGAAGGGCUGUUUAUACCUUGUGUGAGUCUACUAAUCCUUUAAAUGUUCAAUUUACCUUAUCAUUUAUCUGGCAAAGAAAAAUGAGGUUGUAUUUAUAUUACAAGAAAUUUACGUGGUCUGUGUUUCAUGAAACAAGCUUUUUCUUUAUUAUUUUCUUAAUGUCAUGCAUUUAAUUGCAAAAUCUCAAAUUCAAGCAUACUUAGAAUGACAGAUAACUUCUUUGCAAUAUAUGACAUACAUGUCCAGCAGCUUAUAGCUUUCUGAUUAUUUGAACAACACAUCUGGAGUUUAUUUUCCUCGUUCCUUUCUUUUUCUUUCUCAUUACAUUUGUCACAAUUGACAAUACAUAUUUUUUGACCUGUCCAUAUAAGCAUUUUAAGGGAAGUUUGUAUUGUACCAUAGACAGGUGUUGCCAUUUCUGGUCAUAGUUGCAGUAGUAACUACUUUAAGUCAUUGUCAUAUUUAUCUAACCGUCCUAUGGGUAACAGUAGUUACUAUGAAGCAAUCUUGUGUGGCUCUUAGUGUAUUAUUAUAGUAAACAAAUGCACAUAUUUAAUACUUGUGUUUAGUUUUUUUUCCAUUCGAGAAGUAAAGAAACAUGUGUUCCAGGUGCCAAGAAAUCGGUAUUGGGGAUUGCAUCCCCCUCCAGUACCUCUUGAACAAGUCAUUGAUGAUGGGCUGAUGGCCAUCCAACGUUCUAUGUUUCUGAGAAAAGCGGGGGUGGAUACUGUUGCAGAUGAGGAUUUUCUUUUAAAUCCACCGAGUAGAGCUGAGUUAGUGGAAUCAGCGAUCAAAAAUAUAAUCAGGUUUUGUUAUGAAUGACAUAUUGGAGUUUGUCAUAAUUCAUUAUUAUCUAUCUAUUCAUCCUUUACCUAUUCAUUCUACCUGCUUGCGGUCUAUCAAGAGUUUUUGAUUUUUUACCUAAAAACUAAUACAUUUUUUUUAUACUGUAGGUAUUUGUGUAUCUCUCGGGAUAAAGAUUUGAUUCCUCCUGUGAAGGAAGGAGUUGAUACUCUUCUGAUGUACCUCUAUAGAGCACUAAAUCUUGUUGGUGAUAUGGAGAAGCUUGCGUCAUCCCAAAACAGCUGUGUUGUGGUAUGUCUUAUUGUACAAGUUAUUUUUAAUUAUACUGUAGAGGUAUCUUGAGGCAUUUAGGUUGUGUAUUAGUUGCACAAUCAAACUUGAGUAGAGGCCUCAAGACCAUGUACUAUCUGUAUAUGUUGUUAAGCAGCGGGACCUUGUGUUCCUAUGCAUUGCAAAGAAGAUAAGGAUGUUGUCAGAAAGCUGCUUAAAGGAUGACCCUGCAACUUGCAUGGGCGUUGCAGGAGGAGUUAGAAUCGUUGUUAGAUGACUCUGGGCAUUUACGGACGCUUGCAUUUUUAUAUGCUAGUCAAGGGAUGUGCUCAAAGGCACUUACUAUCUGGCGUAUAUUGGCAAGAAAUUAUUCAACUGGACUAUGGAAAGACUCAGCAACUUCGGCAGAAUGUUACUCUCUGGAUAUUUCUACAGAUUCAAUCUCCGGUCAGAAAGCUGCUGCUAGUGAAGCAUCAAAGCUGCUUCAGGAGUCAUCUGAUCAAGACCUGGUUCUGGAGCAUCUUGAAUGGGUCUGUGUACUAGGACCAAUUUAUCAAAUUUUAUAAACAAUUAGUAGAUUAAUUAAAUAUCCUAGUUUCUACUGUAUUAACUGCAGGUGGCUUUUUUAACUUUAGAUUGCAGAUAUUGAUCAGGAGUUUGCGGUAAUGGUUUUAACAUCUGAGAAAAGGGUUAAUCAGCUUUCACCUGGUAAUUCUGACGCUUAAUAGAGCUGACAAGUUGAUUGUUCUUUAGAUAUGCUCUACUUUUUCUCUUAACUAUGAUAACUCUUGAUGUUCACCACCUAUCAAGAAAAAAUAAGAACAAACAAAUUAAAAAAUAUCACAUAUAACAUAUUUUAAUAUCAGAUGAUUCCUAGCACUUAUAAAUAAUAAAAUCUGUUACCCACAGAGACGAAGCUUCGAUAUCAUGCUUGCAAGAGAAUGGUUAGUAUUGUCUCAUCAAUUUGUGUUGUAUUUUUUUGGAUAUUUUGUUGCCACAACUUGUCUAAGGUUAUGUUCUCCAAAGUAAGUGUUUUUAGUUCAGUUCUUCAUCGAUUGUCUUUAUUUUCUUUUGUCGGUCAUGCUCACCACUUUUUUGACCUUUCAAUUAGCAAUUGUGUUCCUCUCAUGGAGACAUCAUAGGCCUUUGUUGAAUACGUCAAGCCACCUCAGAUAAUUUUUCUAUACACUUUCUUGCAGUGCUGCAAAUCAUCACCUUUCCCAAUGUAAAACUCAUGCUCUCCAGGAUUAUAGAUUUUCUGUCUCAUCGUCCUUAUCUUUGUUAUGCUCAGCUUGUGUUUGGGCUCUUUCCUGCAUGUCAGCCAUAUGAUGAAGCUUGGAUAAUAACUCAAACACCUUACUCUACAAGUUUCAUUUCAUCUAUAUGGGUAUACUUUAUUUUUGACCAAAUGACAUCGUCUAGAUCCACAUUUCCCCUUAUACAUGCCAAGUUGAUAUCUGUUGGGAUCUACAUCUGCCUGUCAUGUUGUAUAGUAGAACUUUGUUGCCAAGGACAUUUUUCCUUCAGAGAAAUUAUCAUUCUCUUCUGCUUCCUGUAUAUCCACUCCAAGAAUCUUGCUAAUUCUUAACUUCACCAUCAUUUCCACUAAAGAUACACUCUUUUUCUUUUUGGAUAACAACAUUUUAAAUCCCUUACUCUGUAGAUUAUCUUUCAUAAUUACAUCAUACUGCUCAGUCCUUCCCUAGUCUCAUCAACCAGAUAUCAUCUAUAAAUAGCAGACAUCUAGGGGUCAUCCUUCGAAGCUUCUUACUUGGUGGAUCCAAAAGAUCUGGUGUGAUAACCAUUGCUUGCUUUUCACUUAGUGUAGAAUUUAGUGCAUUGCUUUUGGGGAGCACCUUAUUGAAUCCUUGCCAAAUUCUCAUGAUUUUUUUUAAAGUUCUGGCAUGUUAAAGAGCACUAAUGAUGUCUGGGACCUACUUGACGUAAAAACAUCUAAUAAGAACAACACCUCUAUAUCAUGUUAUAUUUGUAUGAUUAUGUAAAUUCAAGCAACAAUUUAGAUGAAAAUGACCAAAUAUUCCAUUGGCAUCUUCAUGUCUAAAAUAAACAAUUAAAACUUUGAACAUUCUUUUCAGUUUAUAAUUAAUUCAGAGACCAGCUUCAAGAUGGCCUUACAUAUCACGCUUUCUGGAAAUGACAACAUUUGUUAAUUUGGACAGGUGUAGCACUUUAUUAUCACUUAAAAGUUACUAAUAGAUUUUCUUGUGGUUGCAGAAAAGGUACUUGCUGCUGUUGAUCCAAAAAAGGUUGAGAUUCAGCAGAGGUAUUAAUCAGCUAAUACUGUGGGGUUGUUUUCACUUUUGUAUACAUGCCAAUACCAAGUUUAGGUCAAAAGUUUACAUGAAAAUUGGUCUUCUAUAUUGACAGGUUAAUUUUGAUAAAGAUUGUGCUUUCUGCCUAAACUUUUAGCUGAUAUAUGUAAAAUCUUGUAGAUAUUUGCAGUGGUUGAUUGAGGAUCAAGACUCGGAUGACACUCAAUUUCAUACUUUAUAUGCUGUUUCUCUUGCUAGAUCAGCACUAGAAAUAGUUGAACUGGCCUACAGCAAUGGGAAUAAUGAUGCUAGAAAUCAUGAGGAGAUGGUUUUGGUUUUGGAUGUUGAAAAUGCAAACAAUUACAGGUAUUCUGUCAGGGAGAGUUUGCAGUUUUUUUUACAGGCUUCAGACUUGUAUGAUCCAGAAGAAGUACUUGAUGUGAUAGAAGGAUCGGAGUUAUGGCUGGAAAAGGUUAUUACUUAUUACCCCUUAUAGCAGCUUAGUCUUGCAACAACUGUUAACUAGAUUGGUGUCUUGUUUUGCUUACACACUGAUUUUUUGCAUAAUUUUUGCAUAAUUCCAUAUUUACAUUAAAAUAUUAAAAUAUAUAUUUACUAUGUUUUGAAUCGCACUCUGAACAGCUUAUGUUCAGUUAUAGGAAUAUUGAUUGUGUUUGCUAUUUGUAGUUUUGCUUUGUUUAGAUGUUGCAAGUAUAUGUGCCAUAAGUUCACAUUUUGUUUCUGAUGUCUAUGGGGUGCCUUACCAAGCAUCCAGAGUCAAAUGAUUAAAGAAAAUGGUGGCUCUAGUCUCUUCUUUAUCAGGCCACAAACAAGUAUACUCCCUCACAAUAUCUAUGACCCUGAUGGUAGUAGCCAGUAAUAAACUUGCUGUUUUACAUUUUAGCUUAUGCAACAAGCAGAAGGACUCCACACCUUUAUUUAUCAGCCAAAUUGAGGAUCCAACCAGUCUGCAGAGAAACCUUCUACUAAGUCCAUGAAACACAAGCAUGUCUUUAUUAAAACAUUUCCCAUUCAAGAUACUACCAUGUUAUGCAGUUUCCUUACCUCAGCACCUCCCGGUUCUCCCCCAUUCCCAGAAACCAAAACCACAUUCUUGCUAUGAUAAAAAAAGGAUAUCUACACAUGUCUUAUUUGUCGGACAUGACAUCCAUAUAAUUUGAGUUGGCACUGUAUAACAUGCUAUACCGUGGUGAGUAUUGACAUGCACAAAUUGAUACAAAUGCAAUGCCCAAAAUCACAACAUGAUGAAGAGUAUGUUAAGGAAACCUAACUCUUAGCACAUAGAUUAGACUGCUUUGGUUGCUUUACAAUCGCGUACACGAAAUAUUUUAAGGAGUCUGACUCCUUUAAAGAAGUUGUGUGUGACACGAACUGUUUAUUCAUUAGUUGGAAACUCUACAAUAUGAAAAAAAAUGCAUCAAGAUGGUAAAUCCCAAACUUCUAGAUGUGUUUGAUGCUCCACCUUGUAAGAGUCAUUUGAUGAUGGUGGGCCAGGCACUAUGCUGUUUGCAAUGGUAUGAAAGUAAAGCAUCAUAAAAAAUAUUGGAAAUUCUAUGCUCUCAAAUGUUUGUUUUUAGUCCUAAAUAUAAAUAUAUAUUAUUUGAUCAUUGUCGCAUCUAAUACUGAAUUUUGUGACACGAGUUGUCUCAACAUUCAAAGCUUGUAUUUUCUUCUCUGAUAUGUCAGUAAUCUCAUGUGGGACUUUCUCAAAUGUCUAAAUGGCAGCCGUAACGUACUUAUGCUAUCCUACUUCAGAGAUUUUGUCUCUUCUGUUAUUGGAAUAAUUAGUAUAUGCAUCCAUGUAUAGAACUCUGAUACUCAAAGAGUGUUGUUAGAGAAGUUUUGCCGUCUUGGUCAAUUUAUUCUGAGUGACUUAUGACAGCUUUUGUUGUUUCAUUCAGUUUUACUUAAUGACAUUUCUAUUUCUUUGAUUGAGACAAAAUUAAUCGGUCGACUCAUAUGUAUGAUAAUGUUGUCUGUUGGGUAUUCUGUUGUAAAUUUUAGUUUGUAAUAUGUUAUAUGCUCACUCUUGUUAGCUGCAUAUAACAGGCAAUCCUGUACAGGAAGAUGGGGCAAGAGACAAUGGUACUGCAGAUUCUGGCCUUGUAAGAGUCAAACAGCUAGGAUCCCUUAACAGAUUUGAAUCAUGAUAGGAGAAUUGCAAUUUGCUUGUUAAUAUUUUACCAGUAAGCCCAUAUUCCUUUGCCUGAAUUUCUAGUUAUUUGUGAUUCUUUUGUGCUGAAGGAAAUUGGAGGAUUGUGAAGCUGCCGAACAAUAUUGUGCAGAGAUUGGUAGAAAUGAUGCCUAUAUGCAGUAGGUUUUUGUCCAUUUCUUAAUGCACUCUUUUUGGUAGUCAUAUCAUAAAAUCUGCAAUUUCUAGCGAGUUCACAUUUUCCAUUCAUGUGCUUUGUACCUCAGGUUGCUGGAUAUGUAUUUGGAUCCGCUGGAUGGCAAAGAACCCAUGUUCAAGGCUGCAGUUCGUCUUCUCCAUAAUCAUGGGGAAUCUCUAGAUCCGCUUCAAGUGCUGGAGGUACCUAACUUGAUGCAUUGUUAUACUAGAAACAUGCCUAUUCACCUGCUAGGAACUCAGACAACUAGGAGUAACAUGCCUAUUCACAUGCCUAUUCCCUCAUCCAACUUGCACCAAAUAAUGCAUCCUGUGUCUGGCAUAAAUAGCAAGAAGGUUUCUUUUUGCUGUUUUGGAUUUUAACAGGGAGAAUAAGCUGUUGCAAAUUGAGACAAUUUGAGAUAAUGUAAAAAGGUCUAAUUUUGAUAGCCUAAACGCCCUGUACAUCAUACCCUACACAUCAAGUUGUCUUUCAAACCUCUUUAGCUAGAAUAUUCUUCAUCUCAUUAGCAUCAAUUAGCACAACCUGGAGGAUGUUUCAUAGCACAUAAUUAUGCAUGCAUUUCAUAGUUGUCAGAUAACCUAGGCGACCCUGGGCGCUGGACCAUCCUAUAGUCUAGUGUAAAAUUACAUUGCUUUCACAUACUGAUGGGAAGAACUAUAUUGCCAUAUUAUUACUUCCUAUGGUCAAUGGACCAUCCCAUGUUUGACAUAAAUAGUUUAGAAGAACUAUAUUGCCAUAUUUUGUGAUGAGUCAUGAUCCUAUUGACUUUGAAUAGCCUUAGUAUAAGGGUGUAAAGUAGGGUUGGUUGUACUGCACCGAACCUCCCAGUUCGGUCAUAUCGAACCGAACUGACGGGAAAUUGGGUUGAUUCGUCUAGUUGGCUCAAUAAAUAGGCCAAGAGAAGAAAAAUGUAAGGUUAGAGCCGUUCGAUUAAAUAAGCCAUGCCCUCCCCCCAUGUUCCCUUCCUUCCUGACCUCGUGAUGAAGCCCCUCCACCCCCCCCCCCUCCUCUCUCUUGGCCUCUCUCUCUCUCCGGUGCCGGUUUACCAAACCUUGGUGUAAAGUUUCACAUAUCAUGAGUGUAGCAGCCAAGGACUGGCCCAUUGUAAUGAAGUGCAUUACCAUGCUGAGUAACGUUUUAAGAAAAAAAAAAGACCGGUCGGAUCUGAAGCCGGUUGAAAACCAGAAGCAGCCUCGAUCACCUUCUCAGACAAGGACCUUCUCCUAGGCACGACAGAGCACAAUCGGCCCCUCUACGCCACCGGCAUUGGCAUGCAACUGGAUGGAAAGGCAGAUUGCUGGAAGAUAAGCUUUAAAUGUGCCAAAUAUUUUAUCUUGCCAAAUUUUAUCUAGUGUAGUUCUCUCGUCUUAUUGGUUUGGAAAUAAGCUUCCUAGAUAUCUUUAUGCUGACAUACAUUUUAUCAUAUGCUGAAAGUGAGGAAGUUAAUUUUCUUGGUGUCAGCAAAAUAUAAUAGCUUUGCAACCUAAAGUUUCCUUACAUAUCAUUUAAUGAUUACGAUAUCCUGCUUGAUGAAAGUCUUUUGUUGUUCCUGGGUGUCUGCAUGUGACUCAUCAUAAAUUUAAAAUAUCAGUUGACUAUAUGGAAUUCUUAUUUCAACUUUUGUUUUGAAUUCCACAGCCUCAUGUAACAAUCAUAUUCAAAAUUUGGUGAUUUUAAAUAUUGCCUCAACAUAUAACUAUUCAAGGAAUAACUGCUAUUGUAUCUGGAAUUUGCAUUGCAGAAAUUAUCUCCUGAAAUGCCUCUCCAGCUUGCAGCAGAUAUAAUAUUGAGAAUGUUGAGAGCUCGAGUUCAUCACCAUCGCCAAGGACAGGUAAAUUUAUCAUGCUAAGAAAUAUGACACAUUUUUUACUUCUAAUGUUUCAGCCAGAGGAAGUAUGUCUAUAGCAAUCCUCCAAUUUUGGUCCAUGGAAUUAUGUGUGUAUAAAUUUUGCAAGCAAGUGACUGCACUUUUAGCCAUAAAUUUGGCCAAAUUUGCAAUGGAUUAAUUGUUAUAGAUGUGAUAAAAUUCAAAGAAUUUGUUGCUCGAUCGAAGUAUAUGCCAUUUGCUGUUGGACGACCUACCAUAUUUCUGAUUCUUUUACAUGUUACCAUUGAUUCGGCUUCAUGAUUUGUUAUUGUUAUUUCCUGAUGCACCAUCGGAUAGCCUAUGAGAAAACAAAGUCAACUGCAUGUAACCAAGAAUAAACAUCAUCUCACUUAAAAGCUUUCCUGGUUAUGCUGCAAGGUUCAUAUUGGUUUGUUCCAUCCACCGCUCCAAUUUACAUUUACAUGAAUCCAUAUCCUAGACAGAAAAUCGUCAUCAUAAUUAUGGCAAAUAUGCUCUGUUUCAUCUAUCCUCUUCAAUGUUUAGUUUCAUCUUUGCUGAAUUCUCCACCCUCAGCUAGUGUUAUAGAUCCACGCACAACUUAAAUUCUGAUGGUUUCCUCCAUUAUUUUGUCCUUUCAAUUAAAUUGGAAGAUUCACUUUCCAUAGUCAUCCUCCAGUCUGGUUUACAUUUACAUGAAUAUUGAGAUUGUCUUAUGUGCAUUCUCCCAGGCCAGAUGGUCACCAAGUGUGAGGCAAGUAUGUUGGGAAUGAUGUAUGUAUCUUUUAGUGUAUCUUUUCAAAUUUCUCUUACCAACAAAAUGUUCCAUGGUGCAAUCUCUUUAUAAUAUCAAAGCCAUUUUUUUAAAAGCAAAAAAAAAUCUGAUUACUGGUAUCAGUUAACAUAUUUAUGCCUUUAACCACUUGUGUCGGAAGUUUCGUUUGGAUUGCUUUGAAACUGGCGCUUAUGGGUCUGGUAGAAUGUUUAAUUUAUAGAAUAUGAAUUAAGGUUUAUGGUCUCAUUGGAUUUAUGUGAAAGUUCCCAGUUAAAAGAUAAGUGACAGUGCAGCAUUAGUUUCUUGCCGAUUGCUAGGAUUUCUGAUAGCAUUUUUUUUCCUAUUCUACUCAUGGCAAUACAUUAAAAUGUUUAAUUUUGUUGUUUCCUAGACAAACUUGCUUGUACGCAUAUCUUUCUCUUUUUAUGCAUUACAGUCCAUGCUUAACUGUUAUAAUACUUGCUAGCUGAUUAAGAAAAUUAUAACAUUCUUUUGGAUGGGCAUGGUAGAUUGUUCAUAAUCUAUCACAUGCAAUAAGACUAGAUGCUCAGCUGGCAAGAUUAGAGGAGAGAUCGAGGCAUGUUCAAAUAAAUGAUGAGAGUAUUUGUGAUUCUUGUCACGCUCGCCUUGGUACCAAGCUCUUUGCCAUGUAUCCAGAUGAUUCAGUUGUUUGUUACAAGGUAUGCAAAGCCCAACAAUUUGAAUAUCAAUCAGUACCAUUAGUGAAAUAAUGAAAUUGCUAGAUAACAGGCUCAGGAUUUCAUGUGCAUGAGGGAAUGUAUUUGCAUUUCAGCAUGCUUAUAAAACAAAUGCUUUCAUAUGGGAUGUGAAACAUAAGUAUGCUCUGUAUAUAUGCAUUUUUCGGUAAAUGGAUUUUAUGAGACUAUCCUGCUUACCUUUUACAGUGUUAUCGUCGCCUAGGGGAGUCAACAUCAGCUCGUGGUCGUAACUUCAAGCAAGAUUUCGUUUUUAAACUAGGGUGGCUUGUAAGUAGAUAAUCAGGGAACAUCUUUUGCUCAGUCAAGGCUUCUGUUUGGGUGCACAGUUAUCUUGGGGCCUAAAUCAGAGUCAAAGGUGGCCUAUUCCACAUCAACAGAACAUCUUUGGUCGGACUUUACACCAGUUACUUUCUAGCAUAUGCUAUCAUCAACGAAGCUUCAUUCUGCUAAUUUGAAGAAGGCAUGAUUGCUGAUGCUGCGAUAUUUAUUGGAAGAUCUGCAUUUUGAUACGGUGAUGGGAAUGAUGAUGGAUUUGUUAGGCCAUGCAGCUUCCUGUGAUGGAGUUUCAGCUGUCUUCAUGUGUUUGCACAGCAACGGUCAAAAACUUGCUCAAGAUUUACAUGGCAAAUAUGAGACGCCUGUUUAUAUCGUCGUGCCAUUCCAGUUAUGAAUUUUGGAUGGAGAACCGUACACAGAGAACAGUCAACUAACAAUAUCAUGCAUAGUUUUCUCAAAAAACAAUAUGUAGGAUAUUAUCAAUGUCAAUCUACAUCCAUAAUGCUUCUACAGCAUUUUUCAUAUCUUUUUGUCUCCGACUCUUCUACUCCCAUAUAAUCUAUUAAUGGGCACUCGUGAAAUUAUAUGGAACAAUAUAUAUUUUUUGGGUACAGAUAUGCGACAAUUUUUUGCUCCUUGAAUUUUUCAUGAUAGUUGCUAAUCAAGCCUUUUCUUACAGUUCUUUGUGGAGUGACAGGUCUGCUGCAGUCUAUGGAAUCUUUGUACAAUAAACGAGUGAUUUCAGCUUGUUUCCUUAGUUCGGCUGAGGUAUCCUGGAAGCAGUAAUGUGAAAUCGAUCGAGCCACUAUUUUGUUUCUGUAGAAUGAUGGCCGUAUGGAUGUCUAUGGGGAACCUGGGUUUUACUCCGUCUGUUGAAAAAACUUAAAAAGAUUGACAUAAAAUAUUUUGAAUGAGAUGUUGUGAGCGAAAUGAAAUCGCUAGAUAAGACUGGAACAUGCCAAGGAUGAUUGACGUUUGAAAUUGAUGCAGGUUAUAAAUUUUAUACGCAAUAAGAAUGAAGGAUAAGCCAGAUAAUAUCAUUUUUUUCCCUGAACAAGCAGAAUACAUCUUUUUUCUUUUUUCUUUCAUUUUUUUUUAACUUUCAUGUCAUAGUAAUUUAAAGUCUUUGAUUAAUUCAAUUAAAUUUUAAGAUUCUUGUCAUCAUCUAAACCCAUACCAUUUUUGUCUGCUCAAGUAAUUUUUCAUGCAGGUGGAGCCGUAGCAGAAGUUUAGCAGCUCAUACUCUUCUGUAUGUUUCAGCAUCAGAUGUCUGUCAGUGUCUAAUCAGCAGCACUAUAAUCCUUAAUAAGCUUGCACUACCAUGAUGCAACACAUUCUCAAUAAAUUGCCGUUUGUUUGUACAGGCAUGACAAUGUUCAGAAUCCCAAAGUUCUGGACUUUAAGGCCUUUCUUUGUCUUGGUGGUUGCAUGAGAGACUUGGGCAUGGAUGCUGCCUUCAUCAGGUAUUGGGUGAGGGCUUCUCCUUUUUCUGUGGCAGUCAAUUAAAGAUGGAAUUUUCUCUACCAAAAACAUGUGGCGUGAUAAGUGCAAUAAGCCUUGGUUCGUAUAUCCUUUCUUUUUUUCAAAUAUCUUAGUUAUUGUUGAAGAAGGAUCAUCUUUCUAACUCUCCCCAGCUAACCUUUUACUGUUCUUAGUGAUCAAAUCAAGUCAUUUUUAUUUCUAACGUGGCUCCAAGUUCAAACGUACAACUCUCAGCUAUGACGCAAUCUUUUUUAUCAAUAUCUUGUACCCCAAAUAACUCAGACAUAAAAAAUAAACACCAAAUAACUCUAUAGUAUGAAAGGCCAAGACAUUCCUCCCCAGCCAACUAAAAGCAGCGGGCUCUCAUGGCUUCCAUGGUGGUGGCGGCGGUGGCGUUGCCGGGAAGAGUGGCGGCACAGCCGAGAACAUGGUGUUCUUGUCGACGCCAGCACCGCCACUGCUUGUCAGCGACACAAGGGCUGCGACAAGGCCUGCAUUGCCGGCUAGCGUGGGCUCGGUGUAGCCGUAGUUCUUUCUCACGUCGACGAAGCCGUCGGAACGAUCGGGGCCGCCGACCAUGGCGCCGGUGAUCACAUUGGGGUUGGGGGAUUUGGCAUUUAACCACUUCCGCCCGCCGGUGCAUGAGUACUUGACGCCGUUGUCGGGGAUCGAGGCGCCGCGGUGAUGGACGUGCUUCGGGUAGUUCUUGCCAUAACCCACCACAUAACUCAUCUUCUUUGGAUUGUCUCCUAAGAUGUAAUCCACCUGCGACACAAGGAUGGCUAAUUAGCUGUGAAGCUUGCUUACUAGGAGAAAACAUGGGAAACGGAAGUUUCCCAGCAUCAACUUUUCCUCAGGUUUUUAAUCUAUUCUUGAGAAUAGAUUGUUGCAUAAAACAAUCAUAUUUUUUCAUGAUUGUAACAGUGCUCUUUCAAAGAUGCUGGCAUCUAGUUUUCGUAAUAGGUGGAAAUUAAUAAAUGAGAAAAGAGAAGAGGUGGGGACCUGGGAGGCAGCGAAGCUCCGAAGGGAGCUGGUGGAGAAGUAGUAGGGGCCGCAAUACCAUCCGGGGACAUUAGCAGCGUCCAUAUAGUCGGCAUAGAGGGAUGCCAGGAACGACGUCGCCGCUGCAUAUUGCAGCGGCUGAGGCCUUCCGUGGUUCAGUUCAAUGAGUCCACCUGCGUACAGAAGGUGUCAGCUUAUCAAACUAGUAAAAUUCUUGGUUAGUAAAAUUCAAUACUUGGUUAUAUCGCAUUUUAAGAGUUGGAUAAGCCAUUUCUGUAUCAUAAAAAUACCCAUGCAUGCAGUUUUCUUGGAAAUCUGUAAGGCAGAAGAAGACUUCAAUAUGCUGAUGAAAAUUUUCAAUGCUCCCACUUUUUUUUUUUUAUCAGCAUUGCUGCACUCUUCUUCUAUCUGCAGGUUCUUCACAACUAAAUAGUGUCAUGGUCUCUCGUCUUUUUUUUUUUAACCCCAUUGCUCAUAUUAUAGUUAUCUUGGCUUCCUUUUGUAGUUAUGUUAAUGACCAAUUGAGGUUUUCUUGAUCCUUUUUCUCAUAAAAGACAACUUGGAUUCGAGCGACUGAAAGAUUUUUAUUGCGAUUAUAUAUGUAUAUAUAUUGAUUUCUGAAAGAUGGCAUCAUGUUACCUCGUGUCCAAUUGAAGACAUGGAAUUCCUUAAAACAUGAACACAUGUCGAGGCCUGUGGCAUUAUGGUACCCACGGAGAGUCUCCUCAUAAGGAUAGCCCGGGCUCAAGAACAGCCUGAACCUGGUUAGAAGCAGCAUGGCAGCUGGGAGCUUGUUGUCCCAGCUGAGAACCCCGAGGUCUGGGAUUUGCAUGAAGGCCUUGGCAUUCCUUGGCAGCCUCGGAUCGGUCACAAAGCUCAUGUAGCUGCUGUUGCCGGUGGCGUAGUACAUCCAUGCAGCACUCCACAUGUACUCAUCCCAGUAGCCCGUUGAGUUGUAGAAGGGCUCGAUGUACGGGUUCCCUCGGGAGUAGGGCGUUCUGUGGCCCAUGCUCCUUGCAAACUUGUAAACUGUUGCUGCGCCACUGAUGAGCUUCUUGGAGUAGGCGGGGUCGUCGCGGAAGACAAUGGAGGCAGCAGCCAGUGCUGCAGCCAUCUCACCUCCCAAGUCUGGGGCAGAGCUUGCAACCUGGGUCUUGCGGGGGUAGUCCAUGUCUUCAGGUCUCAUCCAGCAGUAGUGGUCGUCCGGUGUCGUCGAGGAAUUCGUCGCCUCACCGACCUGACAAACAGAAGAACAUAUGAAGUUGAGAGCCUGAAAGAGGAGGGGAAGACCUCAGCUGGCUAGAAUGGAUUCAAAUCUAAGAAAAGAAUUGAAGAAGUCUGAAGUAACAGUGGAGGUCAGUGGUUGCUCUCUUCUUGGGAAUGAUUUGCAAAUAAGGGUUCAUAAAAUUGAUCCAACAUAGCAGGGAUAUAGUAUCUUAAUGAUUAUUUGAUGCCAAGAGCUUGAUGAUGAUAGUAGAUAAAAGUAUUUUCAGGCUGAAGCUUUGUGAUGAUAGAUCAUGCAUUGCAAGAAUUUUAGCCACCAGAGAUGAUGCAAGGUAAUUGUAGUGAUCAUAUACAAUGCCAAUUACCAAUACUUGCGCUGGAAUGUGUGGGACUUGUGCAUUUAAUUCUCUUCAUGAGCAAAAGUCUGUUGGAUGAAUGCUGAAUUUCUCAGAAUUAUAUUGAAUGGAUUAUUUCCACACUUAAAAGAGAUGGCAGCAAGAUCUGAAAUUAGUUGUACAGAAAAUCAUUUGUACAUAAGAAAAGGUCUCUUCCAAGUUCCGAAUCUAUUAGAUGAUCGAAGUCUCAUUGAAUUGUCGAGAGGAUUGAAUUGGAUAUUUUAACAAUUAUCAUGUAAGAAUGGGAUCGACAUUAAUACUGAUAAGGAUGAAGAAUAUCUUCUUUAGGAUAAUUGUAUUCCUGAGAAAUAUUCUUAAAGAAAUAAAACAUUUUGAAGAAUUUAAAUGAAGCAACUUCUCCAGCGGCAUAGGACUGACUUUAUGAGGUAAAGUAUUUGGAGGAGAAAGCAGUGGAUAUCAGAAAUAUUAUAGUUUUGAGAUAUAUCCAUAUCUAAAACAAUUAUGAAGCAAUGAGAUUACAACAUUGCAAUUACUUGGUCGAUCAUGUUACCUUAUAGAGCAUAUUUUUCUUUUUUUUUAAUAGAAAAUUUAUAGAUCACAAUCUAUAAAAAUAAUAAGAGAGUUCUGAUCCAGGAAGUUUGAAUAAAUUGUCUGCCAUCUUGGUAGGUAUGCUUUCAGAUGCAGCUAGCAGUGGUUUCCAACAGAUGAGAGACCUAAGAGCAUGUAGCAUCAGAUUGUAAGAACAAUGAUAGUCUACAUCUUUACCUGGCUAUAGAUUUUAUCAAUGGUGGUGGCAGAAGAAUUGAAGGUUUUAAGCAAGUAAUCGGUGCCCCAUUUUAUGAGUUCUCUGAUGUGGUUGUACUCUCCAAUUGCUUGGUACUUUUGACUGUAUUCUAUCACUGACCAACUCAGGAGUGUCAUGGAGUAGGCCAUUGGGAAAUGAAAUUUUAUGUUGUCCCCUGCAUCAUAGUAUCCUCCAACAAGCCCCCCCUUAAUAUCUGGUUGAUCAAAGCCAUCUUUGAGGCCAGAAUCUCCACGCCAUGGAAUACCGUUGUUCUUCGGCAAGCGACCAGCUGAUCAAGAGUCAAUGAAUAGAAAAAAAAUCAAUCAGUAACUUUAAUCUUGAUAGGAGAUAUUGAAUUCUAGAAGUACUCUGAGAAAAUCUUAUGUUUCUGGUGACUCUAAAUGGAUUUCCUCUAUAGUUUCAUCAAUCUUUUUAUUUUUAUUUUUUAUGUAUUAAUGGAGACAAGCAAUCAACAUAUACUUCUAUGUAUGUUGAAAACCUUUAAAAUUUUAACUGUUUGAUCUGAAAAAACAGAGGAGAUUAACCUUGCCGCAAUCAGGUAAUUCUCUUUUUUUUCUCACCAACUUAUUUUGAGAAAAAUCAAAAGCCGAACAUAAAGAGUGAAUUAUCAGUUAUCAGAGAACAACUUUAAUGGAGUAGACUAAACUUUGGCAUAUAAUUGAACUCAUCUUACACACAAAUAACCAGGGCAGUACCCUUAUGAGGAACAUUUAUUGCUCAAGUAUUUGAUUGGUUACUACCGAGCAGUGUCGAGUUCUGAUCUACUGGUUUCUUCCAAUUAGAAGUGUGAUCUAAUACAAGAUCUAGCCUGAGAAUCAGAUCAUCUAGCUGGCCAAUUCAUCAACCCCACAUUUGACUCAUGGAAGUCAGAAUUAGUCUCAAAAUUAAAUGACCACAAAAAUGUAUGUAAGCAGAAAUAGUUUGCGAUCCGACUUAAUACUACAUAUGAUCCCACUUUGAGCCAAUGCGUCAAAUGAAGCAAAAAACCUGAAUCUGCCAAAUUACUGACAGAAUUGUGGAGACCAUGAACCAGAAUUGUGUAGGCCAGGAAUUACAUAACCAUUUUCCCUCCAAAUUAAUCAAUAUAAAACACGCUAUACGACCACAGCACUGCCACAAAAAUCUGCCAAAGAUUGCAAUCCUAACUGAUAAAAUUGAUGCAGACCAAGCAAUCAUUAGACCAAUUCUUGGAUGAUCAAUAAAUAAACCACGAAGCAGAGAUCCAAACAAGAAGAAGAAGAAGAAGAUAAGAGCGUCAGCAUCUUACAUUUCUGUGCAUUGAAGAACAGGAGGGCCUUUUGGAGGGCCAUUGCGUACCGGUCCGGCGGCGGCGCCUUCUCCUUGUGCUUGGGUAAUGACUUGACGAUGAUGAUGGGAAUUCCGACGACGACAAAUGCAAUCAGAGCCGACCAAAUGACCCACCAGAGGACCUUGCGCUUGCAGACGACGCAGCCAAGGUCAACGUACUUGUCCUUCUUCUGGCUGCCGUCCUGCGGUUCGAGCAGCCAGCUCUGCUGCGUCUCGUCGAGCUGGUGCCGGGAGAGGGCUCCUCGGUCCAAAUCCAAGCUGCGGCUGUGCUCGUCGUCGGUGGCAGGGUCGACAUGGAUCUCGAACGCGCCGCCCCACUGGUUCCCGGAGUGCAUCUUGGUAUGAGCUUCAACUCAGUGCAUGGGAUUCAGACCAUGGACCCGAAAAAGCAGCAACGAAUUCAAUGGAACAGGAAGGCCUGGUUCAUGUCCCGGAGGAGUCGGCGCCAAUCUAAAAUGGCUUACUUUGCAUGGAAACGAUGCGAGUUAGAAGCCUGAUCAGUUGGCAAUUACAUCAAACCAGCUCCGAGAAGAUGACUGCUUUUAUGAGUUCAUGGAGAGAGACAGAAAGAGGAAGAGGACUCUCAAGCUCCAAGGAAGAGCUAGAAUCUCUCUUCCUUCUUACUACUAUUAUUCCACAUUGGUGGCUUUUUGUCCUUUACUUAAUGGUGUUUGGGAAAGGAACGAGGGGAAGAGAGUUGACUUGAGGACGCGCGCGCGAGAGAGAGAGAAAGAAGGGUGGCGAUUGGUUUUUCCACGGUUUUUGAAUGUAAUAAUUUUUUAGAUUUCCUGCAAGCCGUUGCUGUUUUUUUUUUUUCUUGUGUUUUUCUUUUCUUUUCUUUUCUUUUCUUUCUUUCUUUUUGUUUGCUUGUGUGUGAAAAGGAUGCAGCUGGAUGGAUGGUGGAAGGCUAGAAGCGACCUUCGCGGGGUAGGCAGGUGGGAGAAAUUGACUAAGUUUAGUUUAAGAUUUUGGCUUCCAGGUGUAUGCGGUGAAGGUAUAGUAUAUUAAAGUUAGCAAGAGUUAUGAUGUGGGGAAGUCUUUGUUUAAUUCUUAAACUCAUAUGGAAGCUUCCAUGCAUGCUGAAAUAAUAUUUAGAUCUUAGUCUGCAAGAGUGAGAAAUUUGUGCUCGGGACUUCGGGAUUCUCACUAUAAUUUUUAUUUAUGGCCAUGGCCUACUCGACUGAGCCCACGUUAUAAGAGUGUUGGGUUCAUGUUUCAAUGGAUUAGGCUGAACUCAGGUCAUCAAAAUUGACCUGAUUUAAAGUUGGACCAAGUUUAGACUAGUGAUUAUGAGCCUAAUAACUUAACCCAGACUGUCCCCAUGCCUAUGUUGCAUGUAUGUAUGUGUGUGUGUGUGUGUGUGUGUGUGUGUGUGUGUGUUAUUCAGGUUGAGCCCGAGACUACCUAUGGCCCAGCCCAACCUGCUUGAUAUGCAUCCCUAACUUUUAAGAGGUUGGAGCAGUACUAACAUUCCAGAAUGGAGAAGGAUUGCUUUCUUCACGUUAAAUAAGGAUUUACCUUCUUUCACAUGAAUUCAUCAUUAGAUCAUCCACCGCGCAGAUCUCAAAUCACAGUGGAUGAUCCAAAGGUGGAUUCAUGCAAAGGAAGGCGAAUCCUUCUUAUGCACAAAAGAUACAAUCCCAACCCUUUUAGAUUACACUCAGAUGAAAAUGAACUUUGGGUGGUUGUUUCAAAAUCAAAUGAAGCUCGUUUCAGUAAUACUCUCACCUUCAGCUAAAAGUAUCCUUCUGACAGCAUUUGGAGAUUGCCAUAUACUCAUUUCAGCUUAUUUUAGCAGGCAAAACCCUAAUAUUGAUGCAUGCAUAUGUACAAAUCUUCUUUCUUCAAUAGCCAUAGCUAGAUAUCACCUACAACACAUGCACAUCAUUAGCAACUUCCAGAGGGUCAACCACCCUAGUUCAAUUCUCGCCCAAGCAUGCCUAACUGCGAAAAUUCUGAUGGAAUUUGGAGCUCUAGUGCUGAUAUGAAGCACCCUAAUUAUUACUAAGAUUGCUUCUCCCAAUUUUAACUUGGCUGAUCAACCAUCUACAAAGUUUACCUUAAAAUCAGGCAGAGAUGGGAGAAGUUUCAUGUUUCGCUCACUUUUGGCAACAAGAUGCCCAUAUGGAAUCCAAGGAUUUUUUAGGUUAAUUACUUGCAUUGUCCAGUGCAAGGCUCCAAUAGUGGUAUAUAUUAUAAGCAAUAAAAGGCCACUUUCAACCAUCAGCCAUAUAUUUCGGUUGCCCAGUCUCGUCAAACACGUAGAGAGCUGAUGGUUUUGCUCAGUCUCGUCAAACGCGUAGAGAUCUGAUGGUUUCCUCCCUUGAUAUUAAAAGCUGGCACGAAGUUGGCACCAACAAAGAUAUAAAUAUAAGUAUCCAUUUUUGUGGUCAAGAGACCGCCAUAUAGUGAUAUUUCACCAGCUCAUCCGAACUACCGAAGAAUAUUUUAGGCCUGAUAUUUAGGGUUAAAAAUAUAUAAAAUAUUAAUAUAUUUAUAUUUGUAUCUAUACUUUUUAUAUAAAUAGAGAUAUAGGUACGAAUAUUAAAUAGAUAUCCUGUCUAUAUCUUUUUAUCUAAACACGAAUAUAAAUUACAUAUUUUUUGAAAUAUUUAUUAAAUUUGAGCAAAAUUUAAUAAUAAAAAUUAGUAUACGGCGCCUUCAAAACAUCUCACGGUUGUUGCUGAUUGCAAUCACCAGCGACGGAGAGAAAAAAAAGAGACAAAAUGAACUAACAAAAUAUUUGAACCUUUUAAGCAUGCGCGGGUAAUUUGAAGAAUUUAUUCGAAUUAAGUAUUCCGUAUUUAGGUUACGAUCUUAAGCAACCAUCCAAUAUAUAAUUUCUUUUAGUUUAAGUUUGGUUAAUCAAUUAAUUGGUUUUUGAUUUAACUUAAUUUAAACUUUUUUUAUUUAUCCUUGUUAUACAAAUAUCCGAAUCCAAAUCUAGAAAAGUUAAGUGUAUCCGCAUCCAUAAAAUUUUUGAAUUGACUAUGUAUUUGAAUCCGAUCAGACCAAAAAAAUAGUAUCCAAAUCUAACCCAAAUUAGAUAUAAAAAUAGAUAUGAUCGAAUAUAAUCUAACCUGCUUUUUAGCCCUAUAUUUACAAUGAGUUCAUACUAGACCAGAAAAGGUCCAACAAACAAAGCCCACAUUGACCACAGUAAAAUGAAUACCUUAUGUCUGAGGUUUUUAUUUGCUUUGUAUAAGUGAACUAAUAUUAUCUACUAGUUCAAAACGAACCCAUAUCUCAUGAAACUCAAUAACAUUUAACUAUUAUUUUAUUUUUCUCUUUAAUAACAUAUUCUAUCAUCAUGAAUGAACCUUGGGAAUAUUCAUUUACAUUUACACGCAGCCCUUGGAGUAAUCUUAAAAUCCUGAGACACCUGAAUGAGACUUGAACUCGGCAACCUCCAAUAGCACAAGUAAUUUAACUUAUAGGCAAAAUCCUUUGUUUCAGAUCACCAAAAAGCUUCCUUCUUCUUUUUGAUUCACAAGAACCAGAUUUAGGACCAUCCCCAACCCCACCAAAAACAUAUAUUAGGAGUGAAACCUUCCUACAGAAGAGUACAACCCUGCUCAAUUCCAACACUGAUACAUGUACAAAAGCUGACCUAUUCACAGAGAAAAAAUCUUGUAUAAAUAUUUUUAUUGGCUAGGUAGAAUUAAUAAAGAUUUUUUUAUUUCUUUGUUUAAUUUGUACUUUCUUAAUAAUUCUCAGAAAAAGGAAAAUAAUGGCUACCAUGCCCAUGUAGGAGGGAUCAACACAGAACCCACUCACCCCGAUGAUUUCAUGUUCAGGUUCGUCCUUUAAGAAGAUUGUCUCACCUUAAUUCAUCUGACAUGCAUCAGGUGCAAACCCAUUAAAGCGUAAGAUAACAGGCUAAUCAAUUAUGAUGACACAGCAAAAUGAGGCCUGUUGACAGAUGAAAAUAGGAUGUUGCUAACUGAAGUUUUUGAAGAGCAUGCAGCCUGUGUGUGCCAGUCAAUUUGGAGAGUUAAUUAGACCACAGUUUCCUAUAUGAGGUUUCAGACUUGGGAUCAAGAAUCAACAUUUAUAAUCAAAAAAAAAAAAGUUUGGCCAUGAAACAAGGCAAUCAUAGACAUUUAUCUAACAGUCAUAUGUAACCCCAACAUUUGAUACAACAAAGGCCCGACUUCCAAUAUGCAUAUCUCAACUUGUUAAAACAAAGGGAGGACAUAAGAACUAGAAGUCCCACCUCUUCUUCACCCGGAACAUGAGAAUCGAGUUACCAAUAUCAUCUUGAGGGACUUGGAGCAUGAAUUGAACUUUCAUCUUCAUAGGGGCGGUUUUUGUUUUGCCAUCUUCCUCUCCAACCUUUAACACAGAAUUGCAGUCAAACAGUUUAUUUAUCUCUCUUAUGCAACUGAAAUAUAUAUAUGCAAGCUAGUUCUAUACUUUAUGCCAAAGUUACAUUAGGUCAAGCUAUCUUUUGAUCAAGAAUAUUAACUUUUUACUCCCAUUUCUUUUACUAGUAUAUGCUAAUUUAAAGGUAAUAAGCUACAGCGAACUUACCCAAAGAGAUGCCCAUCCAAGUCGCACGCCAGAAUCAUAGCCAGCUUUAAAUUUAAGGUCUUUACCAAUAGUGUGCUUAUAAACCGUACUCCACUCGCUGGAGUCAAAGUGGUACCAGUAGCUGGAAGGAAACAAAGUAGAGAAACACUUAUAUGAAAAAAUAAUUUAUAAAGAAUAGAUUACCAAAUAUGAGUGACCAUAAAAGGGUAAACUCAAAAUCACUAACAUCAAAUAAUAGCACUGAUAAAUAAUAUGAAAGAUAAAGAGCAUGGGUAACAUUUUCAAAUAAAUAAAGCUCAACCAUAGUGCUAAAUAAUCUCCAUACACUAUCAGUACAAAUAACACAACAGUUCUCGUAGUUAUGUUUUUUUUCUCUCUCUAGUAGGAUAAUUACAGUUUCAUAAUAAAAAAUCUGACCAAUAUUUUAAACUAUUUCCCGAUAUACUUCAAUGUCAUCAUAAUGAGAGAUGCUGCACAUAUUACAAUAAACUGUAUGAAAACUUGAGCAGCAGUCUCCGACAACAUCAAUGGCGCAUCAAACCAAAUAUGCAAAAUUACAAGUGAUUUACACCUCACAAUUAGAAUACCACAAUAUUAUAAAGAUGCUAGCGUAUAACUCAUGUAUAAUCUCUUUAAUGUACAAUUUAUGUACAAGUUCUUGAAAAGAAUGAAACAAUAUUUAACUAGCUACCUUAUAUAAUGAUCAUGCUGUACUGUCUGUAACCCUCCACCCCUCCCGAUUAUUCAUUUUUCAGAAGAGAAAAACUCCGGGUAGAUCAGACUCCAAGAAUUUACAAUGCAAAAGACAGACUAAUCAUAUACCCUACAGAAGUAUCUCCACUAAUGUAGAUAGAGAACAUAAGUAGCAUAGCAUAACUAGAAUGAGUACACACUACAUUUUAAUUAUAUAGUUACCAAGAUGUUGAGUUCAUAGGAUGAUCUUGUGGAUGCAUAACCAUUAAUCUGGGAUAAUUGAUCAGAGAAGUGCUAAUGCAUUUCCUGGGAGUAAACAAUAUAUGUUUUCGCUAAUACCAAGGCAUAGUUAAAAAAAAAAAAAGAUAAAAUGGUAUCAGAAGAAGACAAGCAUUCCUGAACCAUUCACCAGAAAGGCAAGGAAUGAUGGCAAACUGAUAGCAGUUGCAGAGAAUUGUGAUUCCAACUUGAAAGGAAGCCAUUAGCGAUAGUUCAUACUUCAGACUACCUAGUGAACCUCAGGAAUGGUAGCCUUAGAAUAUAGAUUUACAAGUUGCACAAUAGUGUACUCUAAUAAGGAAUGUGGUGUUAGCAAAGCCAACCGAUAGCAUAUGACAACCUAGUUGAUCAAGUAUAAUCGAAUGAAUCAACUCAAUGGCAACAAAGGAAUAUGAUUAGAAAAAAAAGGAUGGGUGCAAUAUUGCAAUUUUGAUGGGAAGCAAGCCAAGACACACUGCGACAUGGUGAAAAAUGUAUGUCUCUCAUGGAAGAUGUCCUAAAACAAGGACAAUAGUUAUGUGAAAGCCAGAGGUCAUUGCAUAUAAACCAGACAGAUAUUCCUGAAGCUAUACGGACCACAAUACAGAUCCAAGUGAUGUUGAUGUUAUAGGCCAAUUAUUUGGUGCAUAUAAGAUGAGAAAACAGAUAUGAUCAAGUCUCAUGAAGAAAGAAGUGCCUAUAAUUAAAAACAAAGGAACUUCAACAUAAUGAAAAUGCAAAGAACCAAAUAAAGAUGUUUUUUGUAUGUCUUGAUCAUAAUAAUCAGGAAAAAUAAAUUGACUCGUAUAGAUCAGAAAAAAUGCACAAAUUGUUAGAAUCAUUGAUGCUCUCACAAAUCAGAAAGAUUCCAAAAGACCAAAUGAACAUGAAAACAAAAUGGAGCCAUGGAAGUUUAACCAUUAUUCCUAAUUUCCUAGAAUGGAUGGUGAUGAGAACAUCUGGAAAGACUUUCUGGCAUUAAUACAAUGUUUCAGAGGAAUCUAGUCAAUUUUUUUCUCUGGAGAGAUCAAUUCAAUGAACAAAGGCCGUGAACAAGAAAAAUAAUGUGCAAAAAAGACCCCGAUAUUUUUGUUUGUUCUGAGAUGAUUGUGUAAGAUAUUCUCUGUGCCAUUGAGCACUCAAUGAGAUGGUAAAGGCUAGCAAAGGAUUAGCCAAUAACAUGUGAUCCUCAAAUCUUCACAAAGGUUUGGGAAUAUUAAUCCAGCCUCUGAUAUUACAAAUUUUAUGAAGGUAUUGUUGGACGCAUGUUAUAUCUAACUAAAGCUUAGCAUUAUAUACUUUUAUACGUCCCAACAAACAAAAGAAAGACAUUAGCUAUUGUGUGUGUGUGUGUAACUAUUACAUAUACAGAGUGAUGGGAUUCAUAAGCAGCAAUGCACUUAAUAUGUAUGCAUUGUAUGCAAUACAACUGGCUACUUUACCAAUUUAAUUUAACAAGUAAAAUAUGUUUAAUGCUUCCAUAUUAAAGACAAGUACAUUAUCAUCAUAUAGUAUUAUGUAUAUAACAUAGUACAUACACAAAGAACAAUAGGAUUCACAAGCAGCAAUGCACUUAAUGUGUGUGCAUUGUACACAAUACAACUGGCUACUUUACCAGCUUAGUUUAACAAGUAAAAUAUGUUCAAAGUUUCCAUAUUACAGAUAAGUAUAUUAUCAUCAUAUAGUAUUAUGGAUAUAACAGAGUACAUACACAAAGAACAUAGGAUUCAUAAGUGGCAAUGCACUUAAUGUGUAUGCACUGUAUGCAAUACAAUUGGCUACUACACCAACUUAAUCUAACAAAUAAGAUAUGCAUUUUUCCAUAUUAAAAAAAAGUAUAUUAGCAUCAUAUAGUGUUAACGGUAUGCUACCUUAUCCAUUUCUAGAGGUUGAUGUCUGCUGACAAGUAGUUGUAAAUUUGUUCAAUUCUUCCACAGAGUGUUCUCAACUUAUAUGCGCUCUAUAAAUGGCCUCACAAUGGAUGGGAAAAGGCUUGAAAGAUGAUGGAAUGAUGAUUAUCAUAAAAAUAUAGUCAAUUUAUGAUUGCAAAGUACCUAAAAACCUAUUGGGUUAUUGUUACCUUAAAUGUUCUUAUUUAUUCUCAUUAUAAGAUCUUAACAAACAAAAAUCGAGAAAAAAAAAAUUAACAAUGUUCAUAGCAUUCCUCUCCCAAAUUAUCACUUACAAAUGCAGAUUAAUAUGUCCAUGCUAUAUUUAAUUUCUUAUGGUUCAAUAUAUUAAAAUGUUCUCAUAUUUUGUUAUUGUUGCUACAAAAAGUUUGAUAUCUAGGCAUCCCAAGGGUGCAAAAUUGUGAAACUUUGUUUCGUUGCUAUAGAAUGCCGAUGUCUUACCUCUUUAACAUCCUUUGCUUGCAUAUUCCUUCAGCAAAUUCAGGACCCACAGGCCACAGUGCGUGAAUGCAUACACCUUUUGUACCCUAGAGUCUUUUCUUUGGGUGGGUGGGGACAAUUGGGAAGAAGAGCCCAUUAAAUCCCUCAUGUUUUAUGAUGGUACUAUCUAAUAAAACAAUAUGUGGUGGUACCAUUCUCAAAAACAAAACAAUAUCUACAACAAAUGCAUACUUCAAAAGUAAUGAAAAUGACAAAAAGUGAAAAUAAGCAAACCAAGAUACGUACUACUCAAAAGUGAUGAUAGUUUGCAAAAAACUGAUAUGUAUAACCUAUCAUGGAUGCUACUGAGUAUGUAACAUUAAACAUGCUAUAUAUUCAUUUUUAGCUUUUAAAUUUGUUUUUUCCAAGAAUUUGGAAACUAUACUACUUUCAAGAUACAUAGAUAGUGACAUAAAACAUAAAGAUAAUAUCAUUGUAAGAACAGAAAUAUGAAUUCAAGUUAUAUGUUUUAAAAGGAAAAUUAAUGAACAAAGAUAUACGGCAAACCUUAAUUUGUCCGAAGGACUGAAACGCCGUUUGAAUGCAAAGGAUAGGGCAUUUGAAGGUAAGUAGACACUGGGAAUAAAUGACAAUUCCUCAUCCUACCAUUAAAACAAAUUUAAAAAAUAUACAUUCAAGAUAGUUUCUUGUAAGAUGUGAAAUGGAACAUAAAUUAUUUCAAAAAAAUAAUUUGCGAAAUAUAUUGCAUAAAAGUAAAGAACAAAGCGUUUACAAUGAUCACCUUAUAACAGUAUCUUAGGUUCAAAUCAUUGUCCUUAUAUAAUGCGGUACAAACUCCAUUCAACAUAUGACCUUUCAAAAUCCCAUUUACUGAUAGUACGUUCUCAACUUCCUUAGUUUCCUUCUCGACUGAAACUUCACCAAGGGGGAAAUGAAUAGUUGCUUUUGGCUGCAUAAAUUUAUUGUCAUCAUGUCAGUCACUAUAUGUGCAACAAGGAACUUCUUUUAACUUGUCUAUUAAAGGAAACUGCUCAAGUAUAUAUGCACGACUAUAGACCUGGAAAUCAAAGCAAAGAUUGGAUCCAGCAAUCAUCACCUAUAGAACUAAAUCAGGAGUGGCUGUGAGAGCAGAUAUAAGGGUGUAAGCUGAUAAGAGAGUUCACAAAGGAUUUAGGAAGUGUGAACAGUAAGAGUAUAUGUUUAAGAUAAUAUAAUGUAACAACAGAAAAAGAUAUAUGCUUUUGGUGGUUGUCUAAAUUGAUGAAUGAUAGAGAUUUAUUGGGAAAUAGGAGAGUGGUAAAUGUCAUGAUUGCAGAUCAACAUGGUAAAAGAUGAGGAUAGCAAGUUUCUGGUGGUUGCAGCAUCCCUGAUAGAAAAUCAUUAUCAAGGUUCUGAAACUUAUAGCUCAAACAGCUUUGAAAUAAAUCGAGUGAAUUUUAAAACUCUACUAAAGGAAAUGCCAUGAACUGAUUAACUUUUUAAUUAAGGAGAAAAGCACUUCUGCCUUUGUUUUGUGCUGGACAGGCUUACAAGAUUUAUCUCUUUAUACAACCACCUUGCUACACUCACCAAUCCCACUGACGGAACAGAAGAAGACAAUUCCAGUUUAUAUGAUGGAUCGGCCAGGCUUGCUACCAUUGCCACUUCUCCUUGUUGCUCCUGAGAAACAAGAGUACAGGUAAGAAAGCUGUAAUUUGAUUUUAAGGGAAUUAUAAUACUACAAUUCAAUAUUUUACAAAGCAGACAUCAAUGUUGCAUGAACACAAAAAAGUUUGAGAAAAAAAAAUGAGCAGCAAUCAAUGAUAAUUAUAAAUUUCCCAGUUGAAAGACUGAGCACAGAUUACAAGAUUACAAACGUCUUUGAUCUUGCCACUUUCAUGCCACAAUGAAAUAAGGAUCAUGUGCCAAGCAUAUUAUAAACUUUAUGCUGCUAAUCAUUUUCUGUAGCAAACGGCCACAAGAGUAAAAGCAAGCAUCAGCAAAAAACUUUCAGUUAUUCCCACUUUCAGGGACCUCUUAAAUGGUGGUCUUUGCAUGCAUAAAAGAGAUUACUAAAGUUCCAGAUAAUUAUAUCACUUCAGAAAAUGUAAUUAAGACUCCUUUUAUAGCAAGCUGUUAAUUUUUUUUUCAUACUUUAUGCAAGCAAGAAAAGAAUCACAUAUCAAGCAGAUAAUCUUGUUUCAGACUGAUCUUAAAACAGGGGCCUAAGUAGUCAUUUUCGAUUUAAUUUUGGUUUAAGCCAAGUCAAUCCCUUCCCAGUUGCACCAUAUAAUCCCAUAACAUUCUCUGGGUUGUAAUGGACCAAAAAAUCAAAAAAAAGAAAGUGACUACUUAGAAGCAAAGUAUUUAGCCACUGGUGUGAAAUAAAAUUGCAUAAUAGAAAAACAUAGAACCCAGCAAAAGGUUGCAGGAAGCCGCCAUUAUUCGCAAUUACUUGUAACAAGAUGAAUAAGUCAUCAGUCCGUUAUUUACCAAUGAUUAAACAAAUCUUAUGAAUUUGUGCUAACAUUGAUGUGGUCUAUUUUAUGAAUUAACAAAAUAAGAAAACAGCAUAGAAUUACAAUUAUGGAGGAAAUUUAAGGUGCAAGCAUUACUCAUAAGAGUGGUUUCUGUGGUUUCCGAAGCAAGUAGUUGGAAACAUAUUUUUCUAUUAUAUGCAUGAGUUGUAUCAAUAACGGAUAAACUUAUAAGGAACCAAUAGAGAUGGUGUGGCCAUGCAUGAUGGGAACAAAGUCACCCUAGGUGAACCUAUCUUGGUGGCUUUUGUAUAAUAAGGAUGGAAACUUAAUGGGAGGCCUGGAAGAGUCAGCUUAAUUGACAAGAAUGAAGCUCAAAAUAAAGCUUCUACCUAGAAACAAUGAAGGCCUUGAUAGAAACAAGUGGUAAACCAUAUCACUACUCAGAGCAGGUUGAGUAUGGCCUGUGAUCCAUGUCUGGUUAAUUAUUUACAUUGCUCACAGUAGCAAAAUAUAUCUGAAAAGUUCAUAAUUACAUAAAAUAAAUGACAAGAAAUUGCAAAAAUGACAUCAUUGGACUUGUAAUAGUUAUUGAAAAUCUGAUAAAUGGUGAAGCUGGAGCAGAGAAUAGAAAUCUUUAAGCAGAAUGGGGAAAGCAAUCAAUCAAGGCAAAGCAAUGCACUGAUGUGACCUAAAGGAAGUUGCUAGCCAGAAUCUGAUCAUUACAUGACUGGGACAAAGAGGAGGUAAAGAUAAACGGUUUUUUGGCAAAGAUUUUAUUAUGCCAGUAGACCUAAAAGUCAAAAGGUUGGUCUUCCCUCUGGACAAUAUGUCAGUCAACAUAUCACUGUUUACAAACAUUUUGGAUGAUAUAAGGAAGUAAGUUUGGUUUACAUUUUCAAAAAAUAUUUAAAAAAGAAAAUCUAAAGCAACUAAAUUAAGGAGCAUGGGUUAAGGUGAAUAUUGCAAAAGAAAUCAAAAAUUCGCUUGGUACUUUAAAGCAUGAAGUUUAACAAAGGCAACAAAAAUUAAAUUUAGGCAUACAAAUGGAAAACAAAAAUAAUCAGCAUAUAUGUCAGAGGAAAAUGCACCAAAGUGUGAAAGGGCAAUUCCUGCAUCAAACAUAGACAAUCAUGAAUGCAUUAUCAUAGUUAUAAUAUAGAUAGAUAGAACCUUUUGAGAUGAAUCAUCAAAUAAGUGUCACCAAGUGAAAAAUCAAUUGGAAUAGUAUGCCACAUUUUGCCUAUUUAAGUAUAUGUUUUGUGCCAUUCUGGAUUAUCAUCUUUAGCAGCCUAUCUAAAAGCAAUGAAUAUCUUAAAUUGGAAUAGCUAUAGUAUUGCUACAAAAUUAGAAUAUUUACAUAGCAAAAUCAAGAAAAAUAUCUCCGAGCAACAUAAAUGUAGUUUAUAAAUGAUUAUCACAAAGACACCCUCAAAUGUAUAACUCCAUGUAAAUGAGACUUUGAGUUAAUGAGAUUUAUCCAUCUGAAAGUAGGACAACCAGUCAUUUAUUUACAGAUUGCAGUUGCCACAUGUAUCUGUUUCAUACCUCCACAUUCUCAAGUGUGGAUACAAGUUCUAGCUCAAUGAUGCUGAUGAUUCUUAAAGUAACUACAGUAUCCGAAUAUCCAUCUUGAAAGGGACUUUCAUAGGCAUGUUUGUAACUUGAUGUCUUAAUGCAAACAAAUGGCAAUCUCCUCCACUUAUCCCAUUUGCCAAAAAGAAAAGCAUUUGGUAUGCCAGCUUUCUAGUGCACUUAACAAAACAAAGUCUUGUAUUAAUGUUUUUUGGUCUUUGUAAGAGCAAAAAAUUGUUCACUUAUAAACAUGAAAUUAAUGUUUCAAACUAAACUGGUAAAUAUGAUACGUAUAAAAAACUCGAUAAGCAUAAACAAAGAAUGAAAAUGUCAACCAAGCCAUUGCAACAGAAAACUUAUAUUAUUAAAGUAUGCUAUAAAAUUAAGAUACACAGUUGUGUAUCUUGUAUAAGUAUAACCUAACAGUUAUCAGAUGACACUCUUUGAUUUUAGGUGUCAAGAUGUGACAAAAUUCUAUCUCCCUCUCUCUCCCUCUGUGUGAGGAAUGGGGGUUGUAAAUGAUACAAAGCACGCACCUUUCUAUGGUGAUACUUCAAUAAGAAGCAACUGCCCAAGUGAAUGCAAGAAAGAACAGACUUGCUAUUUUCGAAAGUGCAAGAUAUAGACAAACACUGUGUUGAACAGCCUAUAUGAAGAUAGUCUGGCUCCCCAAUCUGACCAGUCUGAAACAUAAGCAGUCUUAUAAAAUAACUGCACAAGUUUUUCUUUAAACAACAACUCCAAGAAACCAUUAUUUCGGGAGGAAAGUUAGAAAGGAAUAGAUUAUGAAGAACUUCUAUCGUGACAUAGAUUAUGAAGAACUUCUAUCGUGACAUAGAUUGUGAAUAACUUUUAUAGUAAGAGGAAAUAGAAGAAUGAAAUAGAAUAUGAUGACCUUAAAAUCUUUUCCACAGCUUAAUCAUUAAGAUGAGUGAGAUAUGAAGGACCAAGAGAACUUUUGAUGUUUACGUGCCAUAAUAAGCCAAGACAAAUUAUAUAAGGGUUUGUGAGGGAAAACAUCAUGACACAACUGCUUUAAGAAGUUUUAUAUAUCACAAAAUUAAGUUAUAUAGAACAAUGCAUGGCUUCAGAGUCAAACUGCAUGAAGAAAGACGGCACAUAAAAUGGCAAUGCAUAUUUAUAAAAUUCUUUAAAACAUGAUUACAUGAUUCGAGACAAAGCUCCAAGAAGAAAGAUAUGAACUUACUUAUCUGAUUUUACCUACAGCUUAUCCAACAUUGUCUAAUCAAGAGUUACCACCAUAAAAGUAAUGGGGAAGCCAACACUUAGAUUUAUCUUGACACGCCUCAAAACAUGGACUAGAUAAUGAGAGGUCGAUAUGGCAGCGUUAUGAGCACAAAAAACAAUAACUUCUAAGCACUACCUACUCCCUCCUAUUAAAUGUGCCUCACAAGCGCAUUCCUCCGCACUAUAUACCUUUACUUCCUCUGUUGCUAACACAUAGCCUCAACAAUUACCCAUUAAGUCAUUCAGCACAGACCAAAUCACUUUAAGUUUUAGCUCAAUAGAGUUAUUUACUCUAAAGGUAUCGGAACCGCAAAAUGAUCUCCCCCUGACAACUCCUGAUGGCAAUGACCCCCAAAUGUUAAAGUGACAUGUGAAGAUUUCCUAAAAUUUCAAUAAAGAAAAAUCAACACGUUUCUUAAAUCCCCUCAUAUCAUAUCCACCGCCAACCUUUGUAGAACACAAACGAGAGAGAGAGUGUGUGGAUCAUAACCUACCCAGCUACCCCACCUCAGAGGAUAGUGCAAGCAGACAUGUCCGACAAUGUAAGAACAGGCAGCCCACUUAGGCAACUACUUGGCAACCAGGUCACUGCAUGAAGAUUCUUCUUCAGCAGCUUAGCCUCAAGUAGGGCAGCACGGGCCUACCAAGGCCUUCGCAGUCGCCCAGCUGCCUUAUAAAAACUGUUCCUAGAAUGUACACAGGAGGAGCUCCCUGUCAAGACUUUGAUAUAGAAACUCAUUUCCCACCCAAGUCAUUUCUCUUCCACCUUGUUCAUUUCCAGUAGUACCUCAAUUUCAUCAAUUAAUCAAACAUCUCGACCACGACAUUUAUCCUUGCCCAAAAUUUAUUGCUUUCCUUAGUCCAUGGUAUUACUGAUAGAAAGGAAAUGAAAAUGGGGGAACUUGGCCUGUAAUUUGCAUAUGUCGAUACAUUCCACCGCUACAUCUCUCACCUCCACGGCAUCAAAACGUCAUAUUCCUUCUUACAGUUGCUCAAUCUAAAUUUCAUGAGAGAUUACCAAACCAGAUUAUAAAUUAUAAUUCAGAAAAGUAAUGCAGGAGAAAACUGAACUACAGAUGGUUCGAUUCAAUUGCCAGGUGACCAAAACAACGGAGAAAAACGUCAAGAAGCGAUUUUUAUGAAACAGAAGGACGAGGAGAGGAUCAAAAGACGGACUUUGACAUCGUGGGUGGCCCGGACUUGUAGGAAGUUGGCGAGAUCGAAGGAGCCCUUGAGGAGGGCAUUGCGGGACUCUAGGUCGUAGAGGACGGCGAAGUGCUUGGUGAGGAAGCCGAGCUGGGGGAAGGCGACCUCGCCGCUGGGGUCGUUCUGGAAGGAGAGCUUGAUCUUGGCGAGUCGAUCGAAGAGGCGGCAGGAGACCUUGUGGAAGAACGCCGAGCUGUCGCUGUCGAACACCGACGUCACUCGGAUCGCCGGCCGGGGGACAGAGAAGGAGCGCCAGCCGGAAUAAGGGGGCGGUGGCGCCGUCGCCGGCAGCGGAAGGGAGGACGGCGGCGAUUGGGGGGAAUUAGGGUUAGGGAUUGGAGGGAUUGGAUCGCCCAUGGCGAGAGGAACGAAGAGAGAGGAGAGGGGAAGAAUAUGGUGGUUUUCUAUGGUAUUUUUAUUUUGAAUUUUGCGUGUUAUUUUAUGCUAUAAUUUUGAAUACAAGGCUGGUAAGAGCGGAAAUAGGUUUUGUAUUCUUUUGAAACGAGGGGCGGCAGAGAGAGUGAGAGAGAGGAGGGGUUUGGCCGUUUGGGAGGGAGGGAUUUUGGAAGUUUUUGGCAAUAUUUACAUUUUGGUCCAAGUUGAGGCCUCACAUUUAUUAUUUUGGUCCCUAUUCUCUCUCUAAAGGACAAACAAGGGUUGAGAUCAAAUUGAAUGAUGAUAAAAUCCAAGAAAAAAUUGAAUGGUAGUAGAGAGUGCUAGGAUAGGCAACUGUUGGGUCACCAAUUUAUGUACAUCAUAUUCUUCACUUGCCAAACUUAUAAUCAAUUCUAAGCUUACAACACAAGAAAGCUUAUAUAAGUUAUCAAACUACAAGAUUUUUGCUUUGAGAUGAAUUAAAUAUAGUAAAAAAUGAUCAGGUGAUUAGGAGAUUUGAAUAAAAUGCAAGUUUAUCAUCGAGAAAUUAUAAUUAUUGUCAUAAAAUUGCUUGCGUGCCCAAGAGAACAAUGUACUUGCAUUUCAUACUUUGUUUCAAGCUUGUUAAGCUUCCCCUCCCUCCUUCUCUCUUCUCAUGUAUGUGUGUAUUUCAUACGUUCUUAUGUAAGCGUGCUUUUAUUCAAACUAUAACCAAUGAAGUAGUGUAUUUCAUGAGAUAAGGUUAUUAAGUCAUCAAGAGUUAGUACCAAUGAUUUGAGUUUGAGCUCUGCCCUCAUCAAAUUAGGAUGGUUUUCCUCUCAUCCUAUUUCUCAAAAAGUAAAAGCUUAUUUCAUGAAAAAUAAAAGCUUUUAGGUCGAACACAAUAUAGUUUAAAAUUAUCAAGUCCAAAGGAACAAGCUAUAAAACAAAAGUUUAUAUUUGUUAUGCAUCAUAACCUCCCAUUAUGGUGUUGCCUAAAUACCAUUAUAUUGCUAAAGCACUAUAAUAAUUGUCAUGAAAUUAUCUGCAUGUUGACCUUAUAGUUUUUAUGUAUUUUUAUAUAUUGCUAUAUAUAUAUAUAUAUAUAUAUAUAUAUAUAUAUAUANNNNNNNNNNNNNNNNNNNNUAUAUAUAUAUAUAUAUAUAUAUAUAUAUAUAUAUAUAUAUAUAGUAUUACCUAAAUAUCAUUAUAUUGCCUAAAUCUUAGGUCCGAUUUAAUAGUAUUACCUAAAUACCAUUAUAUUGCAAUUAAUAAUUAUCAUGAAAUUAUCUGCAUGCUGACCUUAUAUUUUUUAUGUAUUUUUAUAUAUUAUGGAAAGUUUUUAUUUGGGUGUUUCUUUUUAAAAUAUUGAAUUAUCUAUAUUAAAAGUUAAUUUGCCCUUGAAUAUUUUUUUCCCACUUACUAUAUGGGAUGAGAUAAACCAAGAUCUUGAUUCGUCUUGCUCUUAGCCAUUCAUCAAGAUAACUAAAUAUGAAACUUCAAAAACCUCAAGUGACAAGUAGGUCAUAUUAAUGCUAUUGGUCCCUGAAAUAUCUAAAUCAGCAUCCACAUAGAGUAUUAGGUCAUAUUAAUUCUAUUGGUCCCUGAAAUAUCUAAAUCAGUAUCCACAUAGAGUAUUAGUUUUUAUUGGUCCCUUAUUUUUAGGAAAAUUAUAGAAACACCCUUUCUACUUUGAGAUGUGUAGUCACUCCUUUGGGCUUUAAAAAGUUUUAAUUGUGCCCUUUUAAUUACUACGCUGACCUAAUGUGAUCCCUCUACUUGUCUCCACUAAAUACCCUUGACAGUUGUUUGAGUUGAAAGCCCGAAUACUCUUUGCAUCUUUUAGGUUGGUGCACCGACGGCUUUAGGUGGUGGAAGGAUCUGGUAACUCAAAGGACCCAAAUAAAAAUUUCUUAAAACUGAAGUUUGUGUAAGUAAAAAUCGGUCAGAAGAUUAUUUGGAUACUGGUCCUUUUUCACUAUCCCGAUAUCUUCUUGCAAAUCUAGCCAGAUACGAUCCCAAGAUCCUCUCUCUCUUUUAUAUAUAUAUAUAUAUAUGGGUGCUGUGCCUCCCAAGUUUUCAUCCAUUGGUGGUUCCACUUCCAUCAAGCCAUUUCCAGAACCAUGAAGAGUCUCGGUUUGGUUCUAGCUCUCAUGGUAGCCGCGGCCGCCAUGUCGGUUGAAACUGCUCCUUCUGCAACGCUGACCACCCCUAAACCGGCGCCGUACACCCUUGAAUACUCCCAGAACCUGAAGGAAGUUCGUAAGUGCUAUGAUCUCCAUCAUCCCUUAGUUACGUGCUUACGGACGUGAUCUCCAUGAAUUUGCUCGCUAUUCAAGAUAGCUAAACGCUCUCUCUCUCUCUCUCUCUCUCUCCUGUUUCGAUUGUUUUUUUUCUGGUGAACAGCAUGUCCUGCUCCUUGCGACAAGAAGUGCUGUGGCUGCAUCUACUAUCGGUCGACCAUGCCCGAGUGCAUCUUCUGUCACGACAAAUGCCCAGGUGCUUGAUGCAAAAGAUGGAAGACCGUUGCUCAGAUGUUAUCAGAGAGAAUCGCUACCAACCUUAUCUUGACUUGUUCUUGAUAAUAACAGUCUUCUCUCAAAUAAAAACUUAUCCGUUGGCAUGUUCUUGUCCAUGCUGUUUGGUAGUCUACUGUUCUUCUCAGAAGAAUGGAAGCCAUCUAUGAAAGCCAAGGGUGGAAACAUAUGCUAUAUGUUCGAUAUUCCUAUGCAAACAUCUUCAUGCUAUAUGCUUCCAUUAAAGUACUCGAAGCCGCAUCCUCGCUCGGAUGAACCAGUGAGUCUUCAACUAGCCAUCUGUGAUAUGGACUGAUGCCACAAGGGGCGAGGGUUUAGGUUCAAUCAAGCUAGAAGCGUUAUGCUGUUAAUUAUAAGUAAUAACAUACUAAGAUUUAGAAUCACAAUAACACCGUAUUCAAAUUUAAAAGAUAUAUAUGCGGAAGACAUGUUGAAUACGAUUUUUUCAAUCACCUAGAAUAAUAGGUGCUGAAUCUUUUCUUCCUUGCUCCUCACAAAAGAUAGCCGUCAAUCGGACAAACUAUGAACCAUAUGGACCAUAUGGAAAGGAGAAGGGAACCUAGCAUUUAUAUAGGAAACAUAAGAGAGCCUUUCCAUUAAAGACUCCAAAUCCUAAUUGGGUUUCCUAGCCUAUAUAUUAAAAUUACCACAAUAAAUAGGACUCAAUCCUAUACAUCCAAGGUGCACUAAAGCCCAUAAAGCCAUACGUCUAAUCCGCUUUAUAAAACAAAAAUACGCAAUCAGUGGAAGCUAAUAUUUUGAAAUUAUUCUAACAUAUGCUACUUUUUCCUGCAGAGCGAUUGCACCCAACCAUGUGUUUAAUUUGUACAUUAUUUAAAGAGUAGAGUUUCUCCUAAAACAUAUUGGAUUCAGAGACAAGAGCACAAGCAUAAUGCUGCUAGCCCAACUACUUGCUAGAAGAGGGUAUCCAUGGAUUCAGCACCACUAUAAUUCUUUUUGCAUUAAUUCAAAACUAAUAUGUAAAGUAGAAGGCCUUUGUAACCUGAGCAUCACUGUAUCAUACAAGCCAUUUGAGUAUGCUCUAGAAUAAAGAUGUAGGCCAGAAAUUUUGCAAGUUUUUUGUGCACGACGGUGAGAGAUCAGUUGUAGAUCUCCUUUCCGGCGUGCUGAGGAUCAAUGAAAAAGGUCGAGUUUCCAAAAUUUGAAAGCAAAUCAUCAUUGCAAUUGAAUUAUAGCUAUAACUUUUGGUCACUUCGUGAUCCAUAAACAUCAUUAGAAUUUUGUUAAAUACCAUGACAUAUUUGUUAUAGAUCUCAAAGUGAUGUUUCUGAUAAUUAAAAUCACUAAAAUCUGAUAUAUAUGAGAAAUUAUGCCAUUUGAAAGUAGGGGGUGUAACAUGGGAUUGGCUCUGCAUGAACCUGCCCGCCCAACCCACAUAUCGGAUGUGGUUGAGUUAGGAUUAACCUUCAACUCAGCUUUAACAUAAUCUGACUUAAAUGACCUAACUUAAACCAAGCCCAGCUUUAACAUAUCUAAAGUCAAGUUGGAUUUCGAUAGGCUAUCUUGAUUGAGUCGAGUUAGGUCAAGUCAAGAAUUGGCUUAACUCGACUUGCACUUGAUUCAGGUUAGGUAGCCCAGUCAAAACCUGGCCCAUUGAAAGGAUAGGUCCACCCUUGAAAUUUAAUAUGUAAAUUUUGAAAAUUUUCUUCUUGAAACUCUGGGAUCACUGAGAUAUGGUAAAGACCCAUGUAGGCCUACCCAUGAAGUAUUAAUUUCUGUUUGCCACUUUUUGACUUAUAAAUUAUUGAAAUUUUAUCAAGGCUAGAUGUAACAAUUAUGGAUCUCAAAGAGUUUGUUACAAAAAUUCCAUGAUCAUCAAGUCUAAAAAUUUUUAUAAAAGAUUAUGAAUUUCAAAAAAAUUUAAAAAGCAGUCAUUAAAUUGACUACUUAAUGCUAAAACUAGUAAAAUUUGCUAAGGACCAUGAAAUUUUAGUUGUGAGUUUUCAAGAAUUUAAAAUUUUAUCAAGGCUAUGAGAUAACAUUAUUCCUCUCAAGAGUUCAUUACAAAACAUCUGAGUUUAUUGAAAUUCAAAUAUUCUUAUAAACAAUUAUGAAUUUCAAAAAAAUAGAAAAAUGUCGUUAUUAAAUUGACCACCGGAGGCAGAAACUAGUAGAAUUUUGUUAAGGACAUCUAAAUACUAACGGUAAGUUUUGAAGAAUCGUCUGCAAAGAGUUUCAAAUUACCAAAAUCCAUAUUUCCAACAAAAAAUAUACAUUUCAAAAAUUAAAAGAAACUAGUUGCUAAAUUACAAUAAACUUGUAGCUGUAUUUUGACCUGAAAUAUAUUGGAAUUCUAUAAAAUAUUAAUUACUGAUAGAGGCCUUUCUAACAAGUCCACAUAAAAUGCAAUAGCUUUCAACUAGUCGAAUCAACAUAUCUCCAAACUCCGAUUUCAACACAAGUUAUAAUGCAUUUAAUCUGUACGAUUAUAAUUAUACUAAAAUUGUACAAUAACUAUAAAUUAAUUAUAGUACCCUAACCUUAUACAAUGCAAUAGUUAUAUGUCACAUUUCUAAGUCCAGAACUACAAUUCUAACAUGACUUCUUACGCAAUAUAAUGGUAUGAGUUUGAUAAUUUUUUUCGUUAUGAUUUAUAAGUGAUAUAAAAAAAUCAUAAACUCAAGAAUUAUAAACUGGGACUCCAGCUAUACAUUCUUUUGAUCCAAAUCAUGGCUCCAUGUUGGAAGUCAAUCUAGAAUUUUAUUUAAGAGCAAAUUAUAUAAGGUGAUCAGUUCUUGAGCAAAGAAACUUCACAAAUUUGUAAACUUUAUAUAAAAGUCAAUCUAGACAUUUCCAAAUUCACGGCAUAGACGAAUACCCAAACUUCCACCAUAUGCCCAAACAAAUAGAUUCCUAAACUCAUAGAGUUUGAUUCCCAGUGACAUUUAAAACCAUAGAAUAUCAUAAAUUUUUUGUGCAUCAAAGACACCCAAUGAUGUUCUUCAAGACUUGCUACAUGGCUUUAUUGCACAGAACUAUGACAAAAGUAAAAUUACAUCAUGUAUCAGAUAUUAGGCUAAGCAUUAUGGUCCUGUACCGAUUCUUAUGUUUUUUUUUUUCACGAGCUAUCAACUGAAGGGGUGUAAAAGAACGACAUAUGGUUCCGUACCAACCUUUUAUGAUACUUCUUUUACACCAGAACUAUCAAUUAAAAGGGAGGUAAACGAAUGAAACAAAAUACAAAUACCAGUAACUGCGUUUGAGUCCAGAAACCCAAAAAGCUUCCAAGAGGAAGAAACGGAAUGCAGAAUCUGACUUCCAAGUCUAAUCAACAAGUCCAAGACAAGGCAUCCGCCAAAAGCAAUGCCUGAGCUACAACAGCACUAUUACACCAUUCUAUCAACAACACACCAAACAACAUAUUUUUCAGGACAACCUAUUUAUAGGAAGGUCUUUAUACCAUACUGGUGGUGGUUACCAGCUUUCCCCUACCCAUGGUGAAUCCUCUCGUCCCAUCUGGCAUGCGAGGACCGGGAGGUUGCUUAUUAGCCACCACUGGCUGUUCGGUGUGGACAGGAUGGCUCAAGGGUGAACUACUGCCAAUCAUAUGACCUCCAUUAAGAUUAUUGUUGUGAUACUGGCCACGUCCUCGACCCUUCCCUCCCCGGCCCCGACCUCUUCCUCUCCUCAGUCCACCAUCCUUCUCACUGUAAAGAGCCUCACCCUAUCCAAGGUAACCAGUUAGAAAAACUAGAAAAACUAAAUGCCAUAACCUGGUCUUAAGUUUAAUUGGAACAAGAAAUUGACCAAUUUUUGCUAUGGAGAAAAAAAGGAUCUUCCACUUUACCACAUUCUCAUGUGAUGCUUCAGAUAAUUGCGAAGGAUCUUCCACCUGCUUCUCAUUUGGCUGGUCAGAUGUGGAGACAUCACCCUCUCCAUUAACAUCACCUUCAUGCCCUCCCUUUCUCCCUCGAGCUGGCCCAUGUUUUGUCUGGAGUUUUAAUGGUUAAAAAAAUUAGUAACAACGUGUAUCUGAAAGAAUCAACAUAUAUACCAAAAGAAUCAACAUAUUGUACCAACAGUUUUGAACUUUGCCAUGAUAUUAAGAUGAAAAACUAGCAUCAGAUGCUAUCUUUAGAAUGUUUUAUCGUCUUUCUUCACUUAGCAUACAAAUUUGUAAACAGUAUAGGAGGUGCUUGAAUGGCCCUUAAUGUUGCUUGAAGAAUAUUCCAUAUUUGGACAGAAACAAAUGGAAUGAGAAGUUGGAGGGGAUUGAACAGUUUCCAAUGAUGCCUAUGCAUGAGAAGCCAAGCUUCUUUAAAAUGUGAUUUGUGGUAAUCCCAAGAAUCAUGGGAUUGUGGGAUCUACAUACUCUCUAAUUCUCCCUCCUUUGCCACCAGUUCUAUUCAAGGCUUUUCAGCACAUGAAUGGAAUAUCGUACUGAUACAACAGCAGGACACACAAGACCCCUUCAUUGAAAGCAAAGAUAGUGGUUAAUACCAUGCAUUUAAGCAGUAAACGAACUCGGAGCCCACUUCUCCAGUUCCUCUCAUCAUUAAGCUCAGCAAUCUGUAUGCCAGGAAAACCAAUAUAGCCAGAGGAUAAUGUGAUGAGAAAACACAACCAUAUCAAAGCAAAGUGUAGAAUUCGGUUAAAAACUUACUGCUUUCUCAGCAUCUUCAACCGUCUCAUACUCAACAAAUGCAUGCAACUGUACAUGAAUCAAAUGAAUUAAACAAAAAACAAAAUUCAAAAUAUGAAUAAGAGUCAGUUUUUUAUGUGAACACACGUACAUGGCGCUUGUGCUCCAUUAUAAAAUGCAACAUGCUAAACAGGCCAUCUGCAAGUCUUAAUGGAGCAACCAAGUCUAAAACAUACCAAAAUUAUUAUAGGUUUUUUUUCAAAAAAAGAAAAAGUAUCAACCUACACUUCAACAGUAGAAUUUUAAUCCUGAAGACUUAAAAUAUGUUUGCAAAUGUCAGAUCCACAAAUUAAGUGCUUUGCUACUGUACAAGCAAUCACAUAUAUGUGACAUAUGACAACAAAAUUUGGUAGACAAAUCCACCUUACAGGUUAAAACUAAUAUAAACAUUAAACAACUUCAUAACUAACACAUAAAUUUAAAAGAUGACAGUUCUAAUUAAUAUAUGCACCUACAUAUAAAUAGCUUAUGCAAGUUAUUUGUUAGGAUGACAAUCUGACAUUUUAACAGAGUUUGGAGAAGUCACAUUUAUACAUCACCAUUACUCUCAUUCCUCACACAAUCACAUGCUUAGAAGAGAAAAAGAAACAAAAAAUGCAUAUUCAAAAUAAAAAAAGGAAAUCUCAUAUCCAAAAACCUCUUAUAAUCGUGUAACAUUCUUUUUGACAGGUAACAUAUGCCAAUAUAAUGUGCUGACGUCAUAAAAUUGUAUACGGCAACUCCUGUAAGAAAUAUAAUAUCAGAGCCUACUCAAGCCUUCAUUUUAAAACACAAAAGUCAUAAAUCAUGACAUCAUAACCCGUCUAUGCUGCAGAAUAUGAAUCCUGUAUCAUCCUUUCUGUGCCUGUCAUUGCCCGAGCUUUGGAGCAUCACCAAGAUUCAGAAACUCAAAAUUAUAGUCAGUGGAAACUUCGUUGGAUUCCAGUCAAACUUGUGCUCAUUUCAGCCCCACAUCCCUCUAUUGUUCUUCCUUUUCAAGCUGAUGGAUACUGAAUGUUAAUCAAUUUCACAGCAACUACCACUACUAUCACUCAUUUCACACCCAUAAGGCUUCUCUAGAGAGACGUCUGGCCAUUACAAUUAAAACAAGGGCAGUAUAAGAAUAGCAGCAAAUAGAACAUGUCUAUACAUUUUGUUUAAAUUUUUUUGGCCUAAGAAAAAAUUUAUAUGGCUGUUUUUAAUCCUCAUUCUUCACUCAACAUCUGUUUGCUAGUGUUCAAUUAUUACUACCUAUUAUGCCUCACACAUUUUAGGUUAAUUAGCCGAAUUGAUGUUUCUGGAUGCUUGCUGACCUUCCAAUUAGUAUGCACCAACCUGAACCUCAAAGGGGGUUAUAUUGUCAAAAAAACCUUUGUUUUGAUCUAGUUAGUGUAAAAAGCCUAAACUCGAUUGUUAUACUAAUUUGGUCUAAGCUUUUUAACUAUAUUUCUCAUGAUCCUGUACACUGAUCUGUUAAAUUUUAAAGUCAAGCAGUCUUCAAUUCACUCUCGAAGCACUCCCACCUGCUUCAGAGGCACUAAACCAACCCAUGUUACAAUCCAGAUUGACUAGUUCCUCAUGGUUUCAAAAGGUAAUGACCUGGUUCACCCAGGUUGCGUCGAGGUCACUUGUAUAAAAUCCCUCAUCCCCCCACCCUCAUUUUGAUCCUAUUUUUCUCUCAUUUCUCUUCUCGCCUCACAUUCUCUCUGCUUGAUCUCCUCAAUGGCCCCUGAUGCCUUCAUCUCUGCUGCAACCUCCAGCAUCAUGCUACUCGGAAUCCCCCACCGAGUCGCCACCGACAUCCGCCCAACGCCAUCACCUGAGACUAGGGUUUGGCCAGGAGAUGUCGAAAGGGAUCUCGGGGCCUACUUCACCAACUCCAGCAUGUCCACCACUACCAUUGGGUACCUUCCCCCACUCUCCUGGUGAAUCCUGGGGGUAAUGAGACUUGGUCGUCAUGAUGCUACAUACCAUGUUGGUAUAGCAGCAUAUUAGUAUUAUCGACCCAAUACCAGAUUGGCAUAGGUCACGUUGCCAUCCUUGGUUAAUUUCUGUUAAACAGUUUGAGUUAUUUGUAUUCCUUUUUGGAUCUUUCACUUACUUCACUUUCACUUCAAAGCUUCUUUAGAUUCCUUUUUCUCUUUGGCACUUCAACACUAGUUAUACAAGUGAAAAUAAUGCUAAGCCUUGUGGUUUAGCAAGUGAAAGAUAGAUGAUACCUGUAACAGCUAAAUUCCUAGAUAAGAAGGAUGUGAAACUUGAUGGAAUUAAUUAUAGAGAAAAACCAAUUCUGUGGAGCUUCAAAGAAAGCUUGCUCCAAUAUGAGGCAGAUUUAAGGUUCUUUUGAUAAUUGAGACGAGGACACCUUUGUUAACCCAUAUGCCUUAACUAAAUCAAUAUUUCAUUUCUAGAAAUACAUCACUCCCUAUUGUGUCAUGCACAGAAUGUUAAAUCAUGUUGAAACGCUUUACAAAUGAUAAGGUGACAAAAACAUUCAAGAAUCUAUGUUUGGAUAGAUAACUUGGCUAUAGCUCAGAACUAGAGGCUACAAAUGUGCCUUAUACAUGACAUCAGAAAGAUUCGGUUGAGAGGUGCCAAGAUCAACUUCUAAUGCAUUUCAAACUUAAGACUUAGAGAAGAAAAAACAAAAAAAUGGUCCAAAAAGAAAGAAGGUAAAGUGAAAAAUUAUUCCAUAUUAUGACUUGUUAUGACAAAAGCAAAAUUUACAGAGUAAAAUGCAAAUAACCACAAAUUAAUCACUUGCAUAUAUACGAUAUGAUCCUAACAUAUAAUGUAUCCCCUCGACAAUUUAGUACUUUUAUGAAACAAGCAUAAUAACAGAUAAAGGUGCACACCCUGUUGCCAAAAAGCAUAUCAAGCUUUGCUGAUUUGUUAGUCGAAGUGGUUGUGCCAUUGUUGGUUUGAGGAUAGCAUGUACGGAUCGUUUUUACACUGCAGUACAGCAUGGAUUUAAGUAAAUGAUGUUGAAAAAUUGCUGAUAUCAAAUUUAUAUAUGGAAAGAAAUCUCUACCUCCCAACAACAGAGAAAACUUUCAUAAGGUUUUGGUAACAAUGAUCCUCAGGUAGAUUUUCAGCCACAACAAUGCGUGACUAAAAGGAGGAGAAAGGAGAUAAACAAACCCAUCAUUUACAGUCAGAUCAUAUAAAGUGAUGAAAUGACUCAAUUGAACUGACUAAAUGUAACCUGCAAUUCUUCCAUAUCUGAUUCAGCAAAAGGCUGUUGGCGCCUAACUUUCUUUCCAUCAUCACUAACAACCUGCAAGAUAACCAUAUCCAGGUACCAUAGAUAGCACAAGUUACAAGUAAACACACAUUAGCAAAUGGUGAUGACUAGUAAAUGUGUUUGUAUCAGCAGAUGUGGGAGAGAGGCUUUGACUGGCUUAUGGGUUGUGAACUAAAGCCAACUAAGCAUGACUGAAGAACUUACGAGUUUUGAUGAUGUCCGGAGAGCCAUAGCCAGCAGGGAGUUGUUGUGGACAAGGGCUUUGAUUUUCUUAAAUGCUGCAAUUACUGAUAUUGGCACUGCACACAAAAUAAUACAAAUUCUGAAUUCCUACGCCAACUUGAUCAAAGCAGGUAUCCCAGAUUUUCUUUCUUAUAACCUCUUAGCAGAUCAGAUAUAUCAUAUUGCAAAGUGAGAGUGCAUCCGUACAUAUGAGAGAAACAAGUUAAAAAGUGAUACAACCUUCCACUCAAAAAAAAAAGUGGUAAAACCUUUCAAUGUUUGAGAAUAAGCAAAGAAACAUUCCUUGUUUAGUUGGGUUCCAACCAUUAAUGAGCAUGUUCUGCACCACGAAUUACACCAGGAUCUGUGGCUAAGCAAGCCAUAAUACAACAAACACUACAUACUCAUCUCUUUCUCAAUUCUAAUCAAGAACCAAGCUCAACUUUCAAUUUAACAGACCUUCCAGUUCAAAGUGAUGUAAGUAAUGUUUAAAAGGACAAGCAUGAGGCACCGCUCCAGAGUUGAAGCAUUAGCUUAUACAGGCUUACUUGCAAUUUUAAGAUGCUCAGGCCACUUCUCAUCCUAGAAGAGAGAGCAAAGCCAUUACCUUCAGAGUACCCACCUGCUACGAGGAAUCCUUGGUACAAGGAGUAGCUCUCGAGCAUGCUACUGAAACCUAAGGUCAUUUGCGCCCUACCAUAAAUAUUAUUUCCUCAAAAGGAAACAAGUACCUACAAUCAUAGUCAUGGAUGUAGCAGCAACUAAGACUCCGCAGACCACUCCAGCUGCCUGACCAUUACUUUUCUGGCACCUAGAUAAUUUUCUCACAACCCUCACCUUCUAUAUACUUCCUAGCACACUUCACAAACACCCUGUUUUUUCAGCAAUAAUCAUUUCACAAUCAAUACGACAUGCCAUAUACAUGGACUAACAGUAACCAUUAUCCAGAAUUAACAAGUGCCUUCCCCAAUAGAGAUUUGAAACAACAGAGGGUCAACUCAAUGCUGAAAAAGGAUAAAAAGAAGGAUAUGUGGCGAGCUAUUGGAUCCUGGUUCCUAUCACCCGCAGCCACAAGCAGUCUAUGAUCCAUACGAAUACAGAUAUGGAUAUGAUGCAUGUAAGACAUCUUCCGGUGGCUACUAUGCUACGCUACCUGGAGCAUCUUACGGGUCGGAUUUUAUUGUUGGCAUAUUCAGAUGGGCUCCUCCACAGUCAUAUUAUAAGCUACAGGACACCUCUCAGAGUUAGAGCUUCAACGAGAAAUCCGAGAGUGCUUACAACUCGGCGCACGUUCCUCAUGAGAUAAACAUACAAGACUAUAACGCCGCUUGGUUAGAUGGGUGGGUUGAUGUGCCUCCUGAUUAUACUGAUGAUCUGAAUAUCUACGAGGAACAUCGUCACUCGACCUAAUUUUAAAUAUCGGUAUAUAUGUUAGACUUUAAAAGUAUGCAAUUGCUUGUAUUAUUUUUUAAUUUUUAUGUCACUACGCGAUUUGAGAAUAUUUUAUGUUGUUCAUUUUAUAAUUCGUAUCAUUUUAAAGCAAUAAGAUGCAUCAUCUAGAUUAAACCGAGAUCAUAAAAACAUCAAAAAACAUAAAAAAAUAUCAACAAAAAUCAAAGUAGACUUAAAUUCAUAGAAAAAGUUUGAAAAGAGUGAUUUCCAAUUAAAUUAUUUUUUGAGAACUCCAAAAAAAAUUAGGGAGUGCCGAUCCGUGAAUCGGCACGCCCUACCGAUUCAGUUCGGCAUGGAACUAGUACCAAGCUGUACCGGACGCCGACCGGUACGGAUCCAGAACUAGUUCGGCGGACCUUGAUUAUACAAAAAUAUCUUUUUGGAUAAUGUAUUCAGAAGAACAAAGUUGAAUUAAAACCCAAUUAAAAUAAUUGUAACUUAAAAGUAUUGACAAUAUAAGAAACACCAAGUUUGGUAAUUUACCACUUGCUUUCACAAUGUCUUGAUAGCUAGGUCACACCUGCUAUGCAUUUCAUAAUUGCAUGUACAAGAUAUGAGGUAAUUAAAAGUAUGAUCUAAAUGUCAUAAGUAUAUAAUGUUGUUUUGUUGUCAUUUACAAGAAAUGGUUCAUAUGGUGAAUCAAGCAGCUUUACCAUUAUGCAUAUGAUUAUCAACAUUGCCAAGCAUAUUUUAAGUCAUAAAGUGUAAAAAUUUUGAGUUAUACAUAUGGCUGCAAGUUGUUUGUCCAGAUUGGCCGGUCAUUCAUGGUUCACUUCAUGUAGCCAGAGGCAGAGAAGAGAAUCAGAAAGCUUGUCCGCUGUCAAGCAGCGGAAUGGCAAGUUCCUCAGGGACUACAUUAGCCACUUUAACACAACAACUUUGGAGAUCCACGUCCUUCAGCAUGUUCGCCCAAGGUUGACUAGCCUCUGGUAUGGAAGCCCUGGAUUCUUCGGACCGAAUGGCAUGACUCUUUAGCGAGUCCCUUGUUAGUGAUGGAGGUUUUCUCUUCGUCCUCAGGAGCCAUCUGAAUUUGAUUGUAGCUCGAGAAUGCGUCCAUGAAACUCAGCAUUUGGUGCCCUAACGUCACAUCCGCCAGCUAAUCGAUCCUCAAAAAUGAAAACCGUCCUUGCGAUAGGCCUUGUUGAGGUCGGUGAAGUCUAUGCAGAUUCGCCACUUCAUGUUGGCCUUCUUCACGAGGACAACAUUUGCUUUCCAAUCAGGCUAGUCGACUUCUCAGAUGAAGCCCGCCUUCAAGAGCUUGUCCACCUCCUCGUUGAUGGCCUACUGCCUCUUCGAGCCAAAGCACCUCUUCUUUUGUCGAACAAGCUAGUAUGUCGGGUCCACAUUCAACCUGUGAACAACCACGUCAGAACUUAUACUUGCGAUGUUAGAGGUUGACCAGGCGAAGAUGUCAAUGAUAGCUCAGAGAAAGUCCACAAGCCAAGCCUUGGUUGCUUCAUUGAGGUGGGCUCUGAUUUGCACCAUCUUGCUUGGAUUUGUUUCAUCGAGGGGGGCCGAAAGGAGUUCUUCAGCCGGUUCUCUUUGUUUCUACUUCUGCUCGUCUCGGACGUCAAAGCCUUCAAUGGGGAGUGCUUCUAUAGGCUUCUUUCCUUAAAAUGUCGCCAUGUAUCACUAUUGAGCUAGUACUUGGCCGUCGUGGAUCUCUCCCACACCAUCCCCGAUCGGGAACCUCACCAGCAGAUGAUAUGUUGACACUAUUGCUUGUAGGGCAUUUAGUUCGGACCGUCCCAAAAUGGCAUUGUAUGCCAAGAGAACUUUCACUGCCAGAAAGUCUAACAUCACGAUCGCUUGCCUUGGAUCUUGGUCAUCCAUGACUGAAAGAUAUUGUUCCUUCCAUGGUGAUUGGGUCUUUCGAGAAUCCAAUCAGAGGAGAGUUAAUCCUCUUUAGUCGAUCGACAGGCAAGUUUAUCUUAUAAGAAGCCUCACAAAAUAAUACGUCCGCAGAGCUUCCAUUAUCUACUAAAAUUCAUUUUACAUCAAAGUUUGCAAUGGUUAAGAAAACCACAACGACAUCAUCAUGAGGGGUCUACACGUCCUCAAUAUCAGCAUCGAAGAUCAUCUCGUCCAUCCUCUGGCUCUUCAAGAUCGAACUCCUUGCUUGGGCUACCUGAGUAUAACUCCUCCGCGAAGACAAGCUUAUCCUAUCAGCUGCCAAUCCACCCGAGACGGAGUUAAUGACUCUUGCAGUUGGCCGAUUGUUGAUCUCCUACUCGGGGGCAUCUGCUCCCAGCCAACAUUGUUCUGAUCUUGCUCAUUGUUGAUGUAGCAGCUAAGGUACCAUCACUGAAUGAGAGCCUCAAUCUCUUUUUUGAGUUGUAGACACUCCUCGGUGUCGUACCUGUAGUCUCGAUGGAACUUACAUAAAUUGCUUUUGUCCUUUCAAGCUACUGACUUCAUCUUCCAAGGCCAUUUUACUUAGUUCCAAUUUUCUAUUUUCAUCAAGAUAUGCACAUAGGUGUUAAAAGGCGUGUACCUCUCGAAUCUCCAAGAUGGACUCUUCGGUCGGCAGAAACUUUUCUCCUCUCUCCUGGACCUCUUUCUAGGCUCUUCCUUCCCUUCAUGAGCCUACUUAUUUUUCUUCUUUAGGUUUGUCCUUGGCUAACUUUCACCGAGCAGCCAUAGCUUCUUCCGAAUUGAUAUACUUUUGGCUCAAAUGAGAAUCUUGGCAAAAUCUUCUGGGAACUGAGAUGAUUUUAAUCCACUCCUUAGAGCAGCCAUCGCGACUGAGCGACUUUGAUCAUGGAUCUCCAAAGUUGUCGUGUUAAAGAAGCUGAUAUAGUCCCUAAGGGAUUUGCCUCCAGCUGCUUAACGGCGAACAUGCCUUUCGAUCCUCUCCUUUGCCUUUGGCUGCUCAUAAAGUGAGCCGCAAACAACCGGCCAAAUUGCUCGAAAGAAUGGAUGGAGUUCGACUACAACCCAAUUUACCAUGACCGAGUUGCUUUCCGAAGGGUGGCUGAGAAAGCUCGGCUGAGCACCACGUUGAUGGCCCUCUAGAGCAUCAUAAGAAUUUUGAAGCUCUCCAAGUGAUCUAAAAGAUCCGAAGUUUCAUCGUAUUUCUCCAGCCGCAGCAUCUUGAAUCGAGGUGAGAGAGGCUCCUCCAUAAUCCUUGCCAAGAACAGGGUUCGGUUGUGAAGCCAAUGUUGAUCCUGAGCUCCACGUUGCAACCCCUCAAAGCUUUAUUGUAGUGAUCCAUCUCCUUGAUCUUGCGAUAAAGGUUGGCCUCCCUCCUAGAGACCCUCUUCGAUUAGCAGAGGGAUGAAUAGCCCGAUGUCGAUCCUUCUUAAGACUGAGCUCGGCGACCAAUGCCUCCUAUCUCAUCCCGAGCUUCACAGACAAGAGUGAUGGUUGUGUUGGGCCCAUCCUAGGCUCCAAGAAUAGAAGCGAUGGAUUGGUUGUCCCUGCCCUAAGAUUUGAGGAUAAGAGUGAUGGCUCAUCGCGCCAAGUCCUCAUGGUCGCUCCGCAUGCGAGCCUACUGGUGCUGGUAGUGGUGGUGGUUGGCAGUCAUCUACUGCAAAUUUUGGAUAGCUGUGGUCAGCAUCUAAACUUGCUGCAUAAACAGUUGAAACUGCUCGAUGGUAACCGCCGAUGCUACUUGCGGCUCCUGUAGAGACAAAGCCCUCUAAGGAAUCUAAAGAGAGCCAUUAGACUCUGGGGGUGCGUCCUGCUGGGCAGUAUUUGAGAUAUGAAAGAAGACCAAAUAGAUUUAAUCUUCCCUAAAUGCCCAAUAACAACAUUUGCAUGUAAUUACAUCUUGUGUGGGAAAUGUAAUGCCUUGGAUUUAAAUGGCAAAGACAGGAGGAAAAGGGAUCAAAAAGGCGAUCAAUCCUAAAAUAUAGCAUCUUUGGCAUAAUUCAAUUUGCCUUUUAAAUGCAUUACCAUUUCUAUAAAACAAUAUAGAUGGUAAGUUCAGCUCCAACUCAAAUAUCGAACCGCUACCCUCCUUCCUUGGUCCUUAUACAUCAGAGAGCAUUUAAUAUGCAGAUCUAUUUUUUUACAUCAUAUGUUGUAUAUCGGUGAAAUAUAACAUGAAGCCUUUAAUUCAACUGGAUAGACACAAAAAGAAAAAACAUGUUCUUGAACCAAAUUCCUUGUUUUUUCUUAAUAUUUUAUUUCUAUUGGACAAUCGAACCAUAAUUUAAUAACCACGAACAAAACCACUAAAGUUUUAACUACCACCUCACAAAAUAAAUAAAUAAAAGUUACUAUUACCCUCUAUUGAAGUGAGGGCCCUUAGUCCCAAGUUUAUUGCCGCUCAUCAAUAGAAAUGCCACCUAAGCCCAUCGGCAAUUGCUAACAGCCGAACCACCUAAAGUGCGAUAAAUAUUAUAAGGGUCUAGUAUCAUCAAAUUUAUUUUGCGAAUGUUACAAUUUGAGCAUUUAUAGCAUGAUUAGUUGGGCUUUUCCAAAAAAAAGUUUGCACCUUGAUCAUCCUUAAAAGCAUAUCAAUACUGGAAAUAAGCUUACCUAUUAAGAAAGGGGUAAUGAAAAUAAAAUUCUAAUCUUGAUCUUAAUAAAAAAUAUAAAACAUUAAAAUCAAAAUAAAUAAAAAACUUUAGAACUAAAAUCUAUUUAACAAAAAUAUUUUACCAAAUCCCUCUGGAUCUUUACUAAUGAACCUCAUCAGGUGUUCUGUGGUAGCCAAAUUUACGUCACUGAAAUAAUAUUCCACCUGCAAAUAUUAAAUAAUGAAUUUUGUGAAAAAAGAAAAUCCUUUCCACAUAUCAUAGUGUUAAACAAUCAUCAAUGCAAUAGAAUUUUGCAUCAGAAACUAGUCAUGUUGGCAAUAUUUAGCUAAGGUGACAAAAAAUGAGUUACACGAGCAGGAAAAUGACAGCUUAUUUAGAGUGAUAGCCAUUGAUUAUUUGAUUCUUAUAUUUAUUUCUUACUUCAAAUUUGAUUUGUUUUUAAAAGGGAAAAAAGAAGCUAAUGGACUUCGAAGGAGAGGAGGUAACUCAAAAGGAGAGUGAACAGAUCAUACUCUAAUCGACUCUUUCAAAAAAUGCUAAAGUCAAACUGAGAGUCUAUUGUAAAAAGUUUACAAAAGAUCCAUCAGAAUUGGAUUGUCGACAACCCAGUAAACUGAACCUAUUCAAAAGUUAUUGGACAUCCAGGUUUAAUGGGAACACCAAGCAUUAAAAAAAAAGCUUCUAACAGUAUUCUUGAGAGCCAAUUAUUUAUGUAAACGUGGGAGUCAACUGCAAAAGUUUACAGGCUUCAUCAGAAUUAGAUCGUAAAGCAACCCACUCCCAUCCAACAAGAGUAAUUCUGCACGCAAAGUUUAAGAGACCACCAAGUAUUAAAAAAAAAAAAAAAAGAAACAAGUACAUUAACAUUAUCGCAAAGAAAAAACCCUCAUUAGAAAUUCAUUGCAGAAUCUUAUGCGAAAUUUUUAUGAACUAGCUACGAAUUAAGCUAGUCAAUAUGCAAUCUCUUUAACAACCCAGGACCUCACCCAAAAAGACCAACCGGAAGGUGUUAUUUCCUAAAAUUAGCUAGUCACUCCGUUGAUCAUGCCCCGUGGAAACACAAAAUCCAUGCUUUAUAGUAUUCUUUCCAAGGCUUAUGAUCAACUACCCUCGAAUCAAAGGACAAAUUUUAUGAGCAUGAAAUUAAGAGAAAGAAUUCAAGAAAUCACUCACCUGCUUCGUAAUCUUCUGAAUAACUUCUUCCGAGAGCCCAUCCCUCGCCGGCGGAGCCGGAUCCGAAUCAGCCAAUGCCGGAACCGCCUCCUGCUCCCCAAACGCCGCACACCCUCCGCCGCCAUAGUACUCGAACGAGCCCGGCGCCGAAGCAAAAAACGGCGGGCUCGGGGGGGCUGGGUGGUAGACGUGCAUCAUCGGAGGCGGGCCGUGGCGGAUCGGGACCAGCCGCGGCUGGCGCGCAUCGAUCCGAUCCGCGGCCGGAAGAGGGAGCGGCGCCGCCGCCCUGGGGACGAACUCGGGCGCCCGGGCGUUGAGGCGGCUGGAAGAGGCGUUCCCGUCGGGGUCGCCGGAACCCGUCGCCGGUAGGACGCCGGAGGCCCCAGCCUCGGGGACUUCUAGGGUUUGUUGGAGGAUUUCUUCGGCCAUUUUGCUUUCUUGGCCUAGGGUUUUGAAUAGAAGCCCGAGAGGGCGGAGAAUAACGGAGAGGAAAUUCUCGAGAGAAAAGAGGGGUUCUAUCGGCGGUAUUUAUAGGCUGACCCCCGAAAACACACGGGAGAGAUGGGUCGGAAGAACGCAGCGGCUUAUAAACAACCCUAUUAACUAAAAUACCUACUUUUUCAUAUAUCUGCGAAAAUGCCACUAAUCCUGUUACGUGGCUAUUCUCUAGUGGAUAGACCCCGUGUCCGGGUGUUGUAACCAACGGUGGCCGUCGGAUGGUUUGAUAUGGGAGCGGCCCGGGGUGUGAGUGGGGUGGAGCACCACAGCACGAUGCUUCGUGGAAUCCGGUUCACGGAAUCCGUUGGAUCUGACACAUGGGUGAGAUCGGACGGUCAAUGGAUCAUGGGAACCGGGAAACCAAUCAGGGUCGUGUUUCGUGAGCACUAGCUGACACCUUUUGAUCCGUGUCAGACAGCGAACUCUCCCUGUAUCCUCGUCGGUGGCCAUAUCUAGUGCGCAAUGAUGCCACCUUUCCCUGCAUUGAUCCAAGAAGAGUUCCAUGAGGCCCAAUCACUGCUCCUUCAUGACGCGUGUUAGACCCGUGUAUCUCAACUUAACCUACGGCUCAAGCUACGUAUGGGUCGAGUUGCACCGCGCCACUUGUGGCUAUUUGGACGGCGUUGGAGCUCGCGGUUGGUCCUUGGUGCCAAUCAAUCACCUUAGUCCUGUUAAUUGUGCUAACGGUAUUUUUGAUAAUAAAAUUAGGACCAAAAUUUACCAAUCCAUACGUACUAUAGCAUGUUAUUACCAAAUCGGCAUGCGAUACGGAGGUAUAUGGAUAGUCGGUAUACUGAACGAGCAUCAUAUUAGAUAUACCGUCAACACUGUAAUAGGCUGGUAAUAGCAUAGAGUUUGGUAUUAAAUGGAUGAAUUUUGGUUGGAACAAUUACUAAAUGAGCCAAAAAUAUUUUUCUUUGGCUGGAAAUUAUUUAAUUAUUUUCAAAUUAUUUAUUAGUCUUAUCAUUCAUUUGUGCCCGGCUUUCAACUAAUUCAAAAUAUUUAUGAUAUAGGAGGGACUCCUUAUUACGGAUCCAAUGAUUGGACCUAUUUGCACUUGAGUGUAUGCGCCUGAGGUGGUUGUAGCUGAGUGUGAGGAUACUUGACAAAGCCUACUCACUAUCGCUGAUCACUUUCAACAUGAAUGGUUAUAACCAUGACAUGAAAGGCAAGGUAGAUGUGAUCCUCCCGUAUCGUAACACUUGAAUCUAAAUUCUAUCGCCAAAAAUAAUAGUGUUUAUCAGUUUAGAAGACAAGUAACAUGAUCAUUCCUGCACAUCUUACAAGAAAAGUUCUAUAAAAUAGCACCAACACCAUAGUAACAUGUCCAGAUCAAGAAGAUAAUUAACAACAUUAUACAGGAGGAAGUUGGAAUAGAAGACAAUGUAUAAUUCAAUAUUUGGCAAACUGGUUCAAAGAAUACAGAGGUCUCUUUCUCUGUAUCAUUUUGUUUAAAAGUUUGUCCAUCUUCCCUCAACCUACAAUUUCAUAAGAAAUAAUAAAUAUGAGCAAAAGGAGCAGCUAGCUUAUGAAAAUAGUAAGAUUAGGAGGUCUAUUGUCCAAGAAAUAGAGAAGUAUUGGCACACAUUAUAAACAAAUUAAACAUGAGAAUAUGUACAAGAGUAGAACAUGGUAGUCACUCAGAAAGCAUUAGCAAAGCUUCGCGGAAGCCUACAGUCUGUUGCUCGGAGGGAGAAAAGAGAAGAGAGCACAGGGAGUUUAAUUAGUCAUUGCAGAAGCUUAGAAAGCUUGGAAGAAAAACGAGAGAAGGCUGGCAUAUUCUUUGUAGGGAUAACAACUUCUCAAGAGAUAUAGAGAGAAAUAGCCAUCUUUUGUGCUGUUCUGCAUUUAGUUGCCUGUAAUUAUAAGAAUAUUCUGUUGUUUAUUUCUCUCUAUAGGGUCCAACUAACAGCUGACCAUAGAAUCCCAAGCAGUUCUUGCAUUAGAAGUUCUGAAAUGAUUUUUUUUUCCAGUUAAGUCUUAGUAAAAUGCAUGAGUCGUCAGUGGUGACUUUUAGUCUGCCUUAUGCCCCACUUAUUAUUAGUUGAUCUCCCUUAGAAGGACACAAGUUAUAAUAACCAACUGAUUAGGUACGGAUUAAAUUCACCUUUAUAGCUUCUGUGGUGCAUUUCAAGCUAUAAAAAACCAUGCAUGUAUCUUUAUAGCAUGCUGUGCUUACUCCCAUGAAAAAUGACUGAAAUAUUCUGCGUUAUCCAAUAAUGUUGUAGAGUUGUGUUUAUUGAAGUUAAACAGAUUUGACAUCAUUCUGGAAUUAAUCAAACUCUUGUAUCUUACAGAGAGUUUUGUUGAUGAUCUUUAUUUUUGAGAGAAUUACUGAUGAUCUUUAUUGAGAUUGAAUAACCUAGUUAGAGUUGGAAAAUUUUAUAAAUCAUUAGAAUUCAAUGUCUCAGUAGACAUUAAUUCCUCUUGAUGGUUGUAAGGGAACCAUCAGAAUUUGAAGGAAAGACUACAGGUAGCCUAAUCACUUUUGCCUAAUCACUUUUAUUAAGAAAAUAAAAAGACCAGCAUACAAAUAACCAAGCAAAAAAAAUAAAUUAAAAGUUGAUUACAUGGAAGAAGGGUAAAGGGAAAGAGUCAUGAUACUGGAAUUGAUGCAAGAGCUAGAAAGGCAUGAUAAGAAUGAUGGAUCACUUAUUGAUUUAGUACUUUUCUUUACCUGAGAGAAUAGUCCUAGCAUUUUUCAUGCUGGAUAUUAUCAAGAUCUCUAAAUGCAUGCACUUAUAACAUUGCAAGCAAUAAAUUUUUUUCCUUUUAUCCUGAAAAUAUCCAUUUUAAAGGUCACUUGUCCUUAAAUUUUUUGUAAAAAAAUGUCAAUUUUGAAGUCCAUCUGAUCACCCAAGAACAAAUCUACUUUGGGCAUUGUUUAUCCUAUUUAAGUGCUCAUGAGUCAUUUUGUUUCACACGAGACUGAAGCACUGAAAGCAGAGAUCUUGAAAUUGGAGGAAAAUGAAACUAAGUUAAGAGGGGAAAGAUGGAAAAAAACUUUUAUGGAAGAAAAUGACAGCAAAAUUAUCUAGUACAUAUUUUGAUUGCUAUAAGCUAUUUAUAAGAAGCUUUUACUUCCCAUUCAUCGGUUUCAAAUAAUAACAGUUCCAGUUGUCAUAACUUAUAAUCAAGAUGCAUAAAAAGUAAGAAUUAAGGAGAAUGGCAUUUCCUUCAGAGAAUAGUUAUACAAAGUAAUCAUUAACAUAAAUGCCGGCACCUUUAAUGCAGGAGCAUGCAUGUCAUGAAAUUAAAGCUAAGCAUCAACACGACAGACUGAUUUUUCUCUACCAAGACCUUAAAUUCCCCCAAAAGAUAAAUGCAGUCCGAAUUGAGUAUACAACUAUUAAUGUUGCAAACUCAAACAGAUUCCAUGCCAUAUUUCUUACAACCACAUCGAUCAUAUAAUUACCUGAAUAAUUCUAAAUUAUUCCUUCCUAAAUUCUAUUAAAACUUAUCGUGAUGCCAUUUACUGAAAUGAUAUGUAUCUUUUCUCUUUUUUUUAAUUCCAUGUGAGCGAUCUCUUAAUGGAUAUUCAUCAUGAACUUUUGCUGAACUUAUGCCAUUUACUGUUCUUUUUGCUUGCCACAUGCAACAUAAAAGCUAUAUAUAAGAUAAAGCUAUGAACAAAUACCUAUGAACAAAUACCUUUAAUUUCAAACUUCUAGCUACCCAAUAAGCGGUUGGUGCCGUGGUUCCCAUCGCCCCAAGCACCACUAGACCCUGCAAACUGCCCACUAUAUGGCUUGUUCCUCAUGGCUGAUGCAUUCAUGUCUGUUCCUUGCUGCAUGGCAGCCAUCACAGACUGACCGUUGUGCCCCAUCACCAUAGGUUUUCGUUCCCGAUCCUCAUGAGCAUCAUCUUUUAUCACCCCCUGCGCUAACCCCUGCCUCCCACCUCCGCCGCCACCGCCGCGAACCACCCCAUACCAGAGCCCUCUGUUGCUCAUAGAUUGAUAACGAGACAGCUCCGCCUUAGCGGCUUCGAGUUGAAGCUGCAGUCCCCCGGAGAUGCUGCCGAAGAAGAGUGAUGAUGCCAAGGCUGCCAAACGCAGGGUUGCGCAGGCGCAUUUCAGCCUCAUAGGCCAGCGAGUCAGCUGCAGCCGCCCUCUGGUGGGGCUGCAGCUCAGCCAGCAGCUUCCCCACAUUGCUGGUGCCAUAUACACGGUGCACAUUCAUGAACUUUUGAUAUUGGUUCUGCGGGAAGACGGGCGCAAACACACAGCCCGGCGGGCACCUGCGCCGCGACCGCUUGCAUGCUGCGCAGGGCGCGCAGGCCGCCUGCCGUGGUGGUGAAUCAGUCGAGGUCACCGAUGAGACUGGGGAGCCUUGAACGUUGUUGUCCGACAUAGAUUGGUCCUGCACUCAACAUGAGCAAUAUAUAGAAAUUUUACCAAGAAUGUUAGUAUAUUUCAAUAUGAAAACAGAAGCAAUACAAUUCUGCAGAUAUGCAUUGUAUAUCACGCUAAGCAUCGCAAACAAAUGGAAAGGAAAUGAAAUGGUUAAUGAAAUAUGUCAAAGAUGAGAAGGAAAAAGAAAAAGGUUUUGGAAAGAUAUGGCCAUAGAUCUAAACGUUUAAAGAAAAGCUCAUCAGUCAUACCUUUGAAUCUUUUUAACCAAUAUAAUUAGGAGCGAGGAGAAGAUGCAGAUAUCUAUCUCAGAGAAAUCUGCAAAAGAAGGGAAGGGAUAGGCAAUAGAUUAGCUCGAUGACAUAUAAACGAAUAUAAGGUUAUAAUAUUUCUAAUCUCGCUGUAAUAUUAUUUGCUACUUUUUUUAACCUAACAAAUAGUUAUUUUAGAGUUAUCAGCAUAUUUCUGGCUGUACGAAAGGAGGGAAGCAAUAGAUUAUUUUUUUUCCCCCUCUCUCUCUCUCUCUCUCUCUCUGAUCUUUCAAAGGAUGAGGUGCAAUGGAUUAGCUUAUGAUAUAUCCAUGUAUAAAAAGGUUAGAACAUUUCUGAUCUCGCCGUAAUUUUUGCUUCCUUUGUGAAGCUAACAAAUAACAAGAGAAAUAGAUUGAAGAAAAAAAAAAAGAGAAACUAAUCCAUGCCUAGACGGAGUUGUAUGUAGGCAUUUCACCUCCCAAACUUUUGCUUUCUUCUUCACCUCCUGAAUCGCGUCUAACGCUCUAUAACUUGUGGGCGUUUACCACCACCAUCUUCCUCUCUGGUCUGAUAGCGUCAAUGAAAGAAGACAGAUACGAGACCAAGACACGGAAGAAGAUAUGGAAGAUGGCGGCCGAAGGAUAUAUCGAGGGAAGAGAGACAGGGAGAGAUUCACUUAAAUGGACGAGUGGACGGCUGGGACCCGCUUCCUAAUUUGAUGUUGUAAAAAGAAGGUAAAUUAACACAAAAUCUAAGGAACCAUUAAAUGCGUAUAUAUCCGAUAUGAUUGGCAUGAUAUUUCUUUCUCCGCUGGUUUCCACUUCAGUGUUUCCAUAUUCAUAGGUCGCAUGGAGAACGGAGGAACAAAUUAUAUAUGGAAAUUUUGACUUGUAGAAAUAGAUGAAAUAGUUAUGCGGAAGAAUGAGUUUAGGGGUUAAAUAUAGAAAUUAUAGAAUAUAAAGCAAAAUUUUAAGGGUCUUCAUGACCCUAAAUAUGAUAUGUUGUAAUCUUAUUUAUGAUAUUCUAAUUAUGUUUCAGACUUUUAUAAAUCUCUUGGGAAGGAUGAGGGUUAUACAUAUACAUAUGGACACGUUCUCUAGUUUCUCCAUAAAGAUGCAUUUAGGUUUAUAUUCUAAAAUAUUUCAUCAAAUAAGAAAAGAAUUUAUAUAUUUCCAAGACAUCUUAAUCAUGUUGAUCUUAUAUGCUCAAAUUAAAAUAUUUUUUUUAGCAAUAUCCAGAAUUUGUAACAUGGACCUCUUAAAGGAAAGGCCUUAAGGGUGACUCAUGUGAUGCCAACCAACGGAGCAUAUAAUUGUUGGCAAAUUAAAGUCAAAUAUGACAGACAUGAUAUUAUAGUAAAGUUUAGGUCAGAUUCUCAAUCCAUGAAGCUGUUGGGCCUCUUUGUAUCAUAGAUUUGCAAUAGUAAUUUCACUAUUUAUGAUGCAGUCAUGUACCUAAUAAUGUCUAUAAUUAAUUAAAUUUAUGCUGGAGCAUGAUAAUCUAGAAAAAAUGCAUGAAAAUUCUAUUUGUCACGCAUAUGCCACAAGUUUGAAGUAACAUGCUUGUGGGUCUCAUUAUUUACCACAAAGUUAUAUUACCUUGAUAAAAAGCAAUUUUAUAGUCAACUCAAAUCAUUCAUUAUGUAAAAUAGUUAGUAUUAGGUGUAUGCCAUAAUUCACCUUGCAACAAUUUAGAGUCAACAAGCUCUGACAAAUAGUAGCAAGUGUUUAACACAAAUUGGAAGAUCCAAACCAUUGUCGAGAGAGAGGGGACAUCUCCAUGGCCCCCAUUUCGUCUCCUCUUCUUCCUUCAUUAUGUAAGAAUCGUCUAUCCUCUUCUGUUCUCUUCCAUGUGUAAACACCUUCCAUUUUUCUCACGAUAUGUUGUUGCUUUCUCCUCUCAUGCACCUCCCACACUGGCACCAUCAAGAGCCACCUCUACCACCUCUCCUCUCUCUCUCUCUAGAACCAACCACCCCUUUGCUUGCUCUUUGUCUCUCUAUUCACCUAUCUCACCCCACUUCUUUUUAUUUUAUUCUCCAUUGAAGUCUCUAAUAUUUUCUCAUAUUUUCCCCUAAUUUAAUGGGUAAUUGGGUUUGUGUAGGAGGUGAGCAACUAUUUUUGGCAAGAAGAUGGCUAGUUUGAUGUCUUGAUAUUUGUUUGGCUUCUAAUUGAGGUGAACCCUAGCCUCAUCUUAUUUAAAAUUGUAUAAUAGUUUGGAUUUAUAGUAGAUUAGAGAAACCCUAGAAUUAGUGCUGGUCUUUGGAGACAAGAUUCGGGGUUAGAGAUGCAUGAUGAUGUUUACAACAAUUAAUUAAGCCAUAUAAGGUAAAUGGAGAAAUUAUCUCAGACGAAGUCGAGGAUGUUGAUAGGCGGACGUUCUUUUCAUGAAGUAAGCAAUUUUUACUAGAUGUUGAUGCUACUUCAAUUCAUUAUAAUUAUAUAUUACUGACUUGGGUUGCACACAACAUAAUUAAGAUAAGUACCUCUCCUACAUGCUCUCUUGUAUUUUAUAAAUGUUUAUUUAUAUAUGGAUAUGUUCACUUUAAAGAAAGUGAUCGAUCAUUUUCCCAAUGAAUGGCUCUAAUUUUAAAAUUAUUAUGGUAAAAUAAGAACUCUUAACUUGGAAUUUAUUUAGAAUUUAUGAAUUAAACAUUGUCACACUUGAAAAUUUAACAUGUUUUGUCUAAGAUAGGAAUCAAAGUGCUUGAAUUGAUUUUAAGCUUUGAAUUAGUCACAUAUUAUCAAUACCUCGAUAUGAUCUAGAAAUAUGACAAUAUCGACAAACCGUCAUACGAUAGAAAUGAGACAAUAUUAGUGCUUCAUCAUGGGGCUGGAAACAUGGCAAUGUCUACUACCGAAAAAGUAGAAAAUGCCGACAUAUACAUGCUAAUGCUAGGUAGAGGUGUCCGUAAUUUUGGCUUCAACACCAAAAUUUGCUGGCGCUUCCAAGUAACAUCAGCAAGCAUGAAAAUACAACGACGCUAACUAGUGUUGUGGAAAGUACGACACUUAUUAGCAUCAUUGGAGGCUAAGAACUGAAAAGAGGAAAAAGAGCAGACGACGCUUAAAAGCAUCAUCGGAAUCCUACGCUAACUUUCAUGCCCAACACUACUCUAAAACGACGCUUAGAAGCGUCAUCGGAAGCCUGAGACCUAAGACGACGCUUAUAAGCAUCAUCGGAGGGUUAUAGCAUCGUUCUAACAUAUACUUGCCGCCACCACCCUUGAUCUCAUGCAUCUUCGGUUUUGCCACCACUCGCCUCUCUAUCUAUCUCUAAACUACAAAAUAGGUCCAAUGUUUCUCAAAUAACAUUAAUACAUUUAUGAAUAAGAAGUAAGAAAAAAAUUCGUCAGAUAGAUAAAAGAAAGAGUAGAAAGGAUAUAUAUAUCAAGCAAUUAAAGUAGGGUUGAUGGGGUGGCAUGGACUUGUCACCAGCUGCUUGACAUAUGCAACCCUAAUUUAUGAUAAAAGAUUGGCCAACUCCAAGGAAUGGUCCCCUAUAGUGAUUGAGUAAUGGAACUGCUAUUGACUAGCUUUUCAUGUCCCUUGCCUUAAGCUCCCCAAGAAAAAACCCUAUUCAAGGUGCAGUUUAUAUUAGUUGACACUUAUUUUUCAUUUGCAAUUGCCCACAGUGCAUGCUCCAUGGGUUAUGAAGCGGAUGUAAUGGCACAAGUAACAGCCCUUAUGCUUGCACCUGAUUUGAAUUGAGUUACCGUGUUUCAAAGAUUGUCAAAUAAUCUCCACAGCUUAUUCUAUGUGAAUCACAUGAUAUCCUGUUCUUGCAGCCCAAGUUGGUACAUAAUAUUAUAGUGCAAUAUUUUUUUGACGUUGGUUUGUCAAUGCUGAUAUCUACUGAAUACACAUGUAAAGAUCUAAUUAUUCAUUAUAACAUGCAAUGAUCUAGACUUUGUAAAGAGAUUAUAGAGUUUUCUUAUCCAUGGCAUGAAAGGCAACUCCUUGAAACAAAGCAGCUAUCAUUAGGAGCUUCAAAUAUCCUGAUGGGACUUUUUUCAGUAUCUUUUUAUACCAUUCAAGAUUUGUAUGGAUGUGUACAUGCACACAUGCAUGUUUGAGUAAGUGAGAGAGAGAAAGGAGAGAGAGAGAUUGAGAGAAAGAGAGAGAAGAUGAAGAGGAGGAGGAGGAGGAGGAGGAGAAACAAAAUAUACUUGUAACUAUCUUACACAAGCUAAGAAAUAAUAUUCUAGAAUCAUUAAUUGGCAAUCCUCUGGUAGGCCCUAUAAAAUUAUUGUCUUAUGGACAUAAAAAUUUCAUGCAUUCUUGCAUUUAUUUUAUUCCUGACAAAUUGCAUUCUGGGUUUGCACGUAAAUUCUUGGCUUGCACUUAAAUGCCAACUAAUUGCAAUCAUAUAGGACUAAAUCAAACCAACAAAUUCUCUCGUAAUCUUAAAAGAAAACGAGAAAAAUAUUCGCAAAAAUAGAAGGAAGCUCAUGUCUAAGUUAUGUUGAAAAUCACAAAGUGGUGUGGCUCUUCUUGAUUUCUACAUGUCAGUUUUACAUAGGAACCAAUUAAACCAACCAUGAUGGUCUUGGUUUAAUUACUCAUAAAUAAAUUUUCCUUAUUUUUUGCUUAAAUCCCAAUCUUGCCUAGGUUUCUUUGAUUUGAUAUAAACCAAGGAUCACCAGCGUGCCUACUACUUUGAACCUGUAACAUGAAACGUAUGAGUAGAGUUCCUAACCUUCAGAUGAAAUAUGUGGAACUAGCCAUAUCACAAGUGGCACAUUUGUCUAUAUAUGUAAAUUGAAGUUAUUGAAAACAUGUACUAUUUAUGUGGGAGAGAGUCUAAUAAUUCAUUAUAUUAUAGGGAGCAAGAAUGUCAUUGACAAAGUUAUAAUGCAAUCAACUAUUCCAUGUAAUAAACUAGUCAUUGUUGUCUUCCAGUGACGAUAUAUAUAUAUAUAUUUUUUUUGAAGGAAAAGGUGAAAAAUACACCAGUAUUUUAUUGAGAACUAAAUAAUCACAAAAAUAGACCAGAAGGUGAUCCAAGAAAAGUAGAGAAAAAAGAAGACAACAAAUAAAGGGUCAUACAACCCUAUGAAGGAUGUAGGCCACCAGCAAAAUAAACCAAACUCUAAAUACCAAACAAAAGAAAGCACAAUACUAUCCAUACUGAAAGAUAAACACACUAACAUCAGCAAGAAUUUUGGAUUAUUUAUAGUUUUUCCUUUGGUUUGAUUCACUGGUCGAGGAGUGAAUUUUACUAAUGAAAAUCUAUUGUUUUCCACAACCUAAAUACCUAAGACACUUACAGAGAAUCUCUUAAUCACACUCUUUUACGAAAUGAAGUCUUGCACAUAUAUAUAGCUUCAAUGUAUAACUGUCAAUUGGCAGUUUAAGAGUUGGAGAGAUGUCUAUGGAAAAACAUCUCUUUUGGACACGGAAGAUCAUGUCUUUUGGUUAACUGGUUAGGUUGAACCUUCAUGGGUGGACCGAACCGGUUUUUCCAACACGUUCAAAUUAAACCAAGGUCCAAAAUUCUAUCAAGAACUUGCAACAAUAAUAGUCUAGAUCAAGCAAAUGAGAAUGAGGCAAAGUCCACUCUAGGGAAAACCCUAAACAUUUCUUGCAACAACACCAUCUUCAUUCUCUUUGACCAUCAUCAUUUUCUUCCACUUUAAAGAAUUACUGAGUUAGGAACUGAAAUAACUGUAGAUAACGAGAAAAAGAAAAAGCCCAAAAGAUUCAUCUUUGUUUCCCCAUGAAUAAUGCUAUCAUAUCUCUCCAUGGCAUAAUUCUAUAAUAUCUCUUUAUAUGUUUUUUCUAUUGAGUUGAAGUAUCACUACCAGUAGCCACAAUGAUACCUCGCCACUAUGGUAUGGAUCGACUUUUAGUCUUCUUGAUGCCAACACAACAAAUUAGAAGUGACAUACCAACUGGUACACAUCGGUAGUUAAAUACUUGCCACCACUCUCUACAAUAAAAUUUUCUUGUUGUAUAUAAAAUAAUGACAGUCUCUAAAACCAUUACAACAGCCACGAUAACAUAAUAGCCAUUAUUCUGAACUACACUGGUUAGUGUAAACCAAUAGGAUUGCUUCUGUUUAACGAUUAAUUACAUGAGCUAGUAUUGGAUAAUAAUGAAAAGUUGAUUGGAGCUAGCAUUGCCACUAAAUUAUUAUUUCUUAAUAUGCAAUGACUGUAACAACCAAGAAAGAAAAAUAGUUCUAAUGUUGUACCGAGAUAACUUUUAGUCUUAAAUCACACUGCAUUAUUAAACAAAACAGAGUUCAAUAGUUCAUGCACAUGCCAUGAAAAAGGAUUUCAAACAAGCAAUGUCACUGUAACAAGCACAUGAGGGUGAAAGACCCUCAAUUUAUUCUGGAACUGGCAAUACUUUUAAGCAAAACUCAUGUCUUUUUCUGUCACCAUGUCCAUAUUAUUCCUCAAACCUGAAAUUACACAUUAACAUGUUUAGCUGCAUAUUCCUCUCGAAGAAACAUAUUAAGCAACAUUUAGAAGUAACAGUUUCCAACCCAGAACAAUGCAAUGCAAUUAGCUAAAAACAUAUUUAAAAUGUAAUGUAACUUAUCUUCUGAAAAACCUAUGAGAACUAUUCUCUCCUUCCGUUUUUGAAAAAUGUCAUAGGUGGAAUCCUUGAUUUACUCAAAAAAAAAAAGAUCUUCUGAAGAAUAUCAAUCACUUCAGUCUUAGAGAACCCUCCCAAAAGCUUAUUUUAAGAAACAAAGAGUCAUCAUAAGUACUGAAAAUUCAAGGCAUUCUCCUUUUAAAUAAUGUGGUAUUCAGUAAUUGGGUACUAAGAUAUUUGAAGCCAAUAAAAAUAUUAAUCUUCUUUUAAAAAAAAUAUACGAGGACAAUAAUUUCUGUUUAAAUAGAACAUCAUAGCCAACAAGGGAAAUCAUAAGGCUUUUUCAGAUUAAAUUGUCUUGAUAGGUACUUCUUUGCGAUAACUAUGUGACAUAGUCUAUGUCAUGAUGAGUAUUGCAUGAUGUACCAUUUCUGUCGGAGUGUUUGAUAGGGACAUGUAUAUAGUAAUUUAUAAGUCACAAUCAAAAUACUGUUGUAUAACAUGGGGAAUAAUUUUAGAAGGUCAGAAAAACUGAUUGCAUAGCAUGCCCAACUGUAGAGCAUACAACCACCAACCACCUUCUUUCCACCCUUAACCAUUUUUUGCUAUGAAGUGCACCUAGCUAUCCAAGUUCGAGCUAAAAUUUAAUAAUAUAUUAAUCAUCCUAUUCUAGUGUAAAAACAAAGUUUAUACAAAUCGCUUCUUCAAUUAGACUUGGUCUUUCAAAAUCUGUCCAAGAUGGGGCCGGCAUCAUUCAGUUGCAUACCAUUAUGCCAUAAAUGUUAUCACAAGUACUGUUGUUUCAGUAGAAUAUGUCUCCAUAUAACUCUCGUUCGCUAAAUAGCAUGCAGCUUGCUCUCUCUUAAUAUUUAUAAUUUGUAUUCAUAUAAUUAAGUUUCACUGUUCUACUGUCAUCAAAUGCAAACAUUGCGUUCUUUGUAGCUAGCCUAGGCAUGUGGCUCCUCAUUUCUUUAGUGAAUCGCUAGUGCUAAGGAAAUAUCAUCAUUCAUUUAUAUAUCCAAGCAAAAGAAGAAAAAGAAGAAGAAACAAGUCCUGAAAAAUACCGGUUGUUGUCCCCAGAAGAGCUUGGUGCCCCAUGCUGACCACCAGGUGGCACGAUUCCUUCCCCAGGGCCAGAGGCAGGUGGCCUCCUCCCGGUCUGGCCGCCAGGGGGUUCAUUCACGCCGGCCAGCCCGCCAUUAGUUGGCCAUUGGAUCAGAUCAUAGAUGCUGAGCGGACGUUGUCGGGGCCGCUGUCGAGCAGCAAUCUGAUUUCUCAGAAUCGAAUUGCUGACUUGUAGAUCGACCACUUCAUUCUGGAGUCUAAACAUGGCAUCGAGGGCUUCACGCUCACGGUUUCGAAGGCGAAGGAUUGCAGCGUAUACCAGUGAAUGUGCUGCCGACGUCCACUGCCCUCGGUCCAACAGCCCAAGCAUUCUCGCCGCAUGCUGGGCUCCGUAAGCCAGACAUAAAAAAUCAAGGCAUGUCGGCCUGUCGCCUGGGAAGUGCAGCGCAAAGGGGCAGUCCCGGCGGCACCUCUGCCGCAGGUGAGCGCACACGGCGCAUGGCGCAUGGCGCACCGGGGGCGGAGGGGAGGAGGAGUCCAUGGAGGAUUCAGUGGUGAUGUUCGACAUAUUUGCUCCUGGCGAGGCAUAUAAAAUGGAUAUGAAAUCUGAACUGAACUGCUUUUUUAAGACAGGAAAUGUCCACGUAUAGAUGGAGAAAAUCUGGUGAUGAUUUUAACGUGAAUAACGGAAAUUAAAGAAAUCCAAGAAAUUAAUCUAAUAGACAUGUGUCUGAAGAGGAGAGAUCUGUGCAUAAAAGAAAAUUGAUAAAAUAAAAAUCUAGCAUAAAUAUAUAAGCUGUAUUAAAAAAAAAGAAAAAACGAAAAGGAGAAUCAUCACUGUAAUGAUUUGUUGUAGAAUCAGAUUCUGACUUCGACUCAAGCGGAAUUUAUGACAUGUAGUUUUUCAUAUCUAAAAAAGAAAUCCUGGCCGGAUACAAACACACAGGCACAGGCGCGCGCGCGCAGAGAGGAAUAGAGAGAGAGAGCCAUCUUAUUCCUUCUUUGCUGUAAUCUAUAACUGUUUUUCUUUUCUUUUUUUUGGUUCAGUGAGAAAGCCAUCAUUUAGAUGAUUGGUCGCUGAAUUAUUUUCAGAUGCUGAGAGAGCUGAACUUUCCCUCCUCUAACAUAAAGGAUUUCAGGACAUUUAAUUAGAACUCUAUAGAUUUCUAUCAAGAACGUGGGCAGAAUUAGAUUUGUUGUCUUUUUUAUUAGUGUAGCUCACAAAAAUUCAAUAAGAAGUCAACAUAUCUAAUCCCCUCCCCGAGUAAAAAAAAGAGAACUCAAAUCCAACAUAUAACAACUGAUACCUUAUCUCUCUAUAAAAAAAAGAAAAGAAAAAAAUAACAACUGAUGAUACCUGCAGACGGUCAUCCCAUAUGUAUUACCUUUCUCGGCCUUCUUCGGCUCGUGACCACUGGUUUUUCCUUCUCUUCACCGGCGGGUGGGAGACAAAGCAAUGGGGACAGAGGAAAGGGAUGGGAUUGAGGGGAUAUUUAUAGUUGGGGAUUUUACCCUAAUUUUCCUUCUUUUGAUGAAGUAUUAUUUAUGAUCGGAGUCUUCCAGGACAUUCAAACCAGCAACAUUUCUUUCUUACCAAAAUUUUUUGUGUGUCAAAAUUAAAUGAUUGCCAGCUCAUAGUGGAUACGGAGCAAAAUAACUACAAUAUAUCUUUAAUGAGAUGAUAAUUAUUUCCUGUUUAAGGUAUCCCAUACAUUCAAUGCAACGGCAUCGAGGCAUAUCGCAACAAUAAAUGAUUAAACAUCAAAAAAAUAUGCUGACAAGUUAAAAAAAGGACUGAUAUGAUGUUUUGUCGGUUCUUUUGCUGAGGGCGAGGUGGUCUGGUUUGGUGGUGAUAUUGGCUGUCGUCUUUGUAGGCCUUCAAUUUUCUAGAUAAAAAUGUGGAUGGAUGGCAAAGAUUUUUCUUAAAAAAAAUGAUAGAAAAAUAUGAAAAAAAGAGGGCCAAAAUAUGUAAUAUGGGUGUUAUAGGAGAUAGAAAAUAAUUUAGUAAUAAAGUGUUAGGAGAGAAGAGGAUCAACUGUGGCUGCUAGACAACAUAGGUGUCUAAAAAUUUGCAUGGCUUUAAUUGUUGUUUGUGCCAUGAUAUUAACAACAAAAGUGUUGCUCUCCGAGUGUAAUAACCGAUGUGUGUAUUUAUACUAUAUAUGUAUGUAAAUAGAUAGAAAGAUAGAUAGAUAUAAAGACAUACAUAUAUAGAUAUAAACACAAACAAACAAAUAUACAUACAUAUAACUAGUAAUAAUUUUGCUAUUAGAAGAUAUGGGUGACAAGUUUGAAUGAAUUUGUGAUUGCGUUGUAAUGUCAACGAUUUCACUCUCUAUGGUGUAAUCAUUAUUCAAGGUUUGCGCCUGCAAUAAGUUCAUAAGUUCAACUUACAUACCUCUAGAUGAAUGUGGUGAUCUGGUUCAUUAAGUUCAAGGUAGCUUGAACACAAGGCUAAUGAGUUGGGAAGGAUUGAUUUGUUCAUUACAUUAAUGAUUUUAACAAUGACAAUUCUGCUACAUUAGGUGCAAUGAAAAAUUAGAGUCCAUGUUAGCAGGAAAUAGUGAGCAAUAAUCAAGUUAAUAAUAUGUUCGAAAAAUAUGUUCCUCUGAAAAAUGUGAUACUUUUAGUAUGGCUUGUUUAUACUUAGGGUUUGUCUAGAUAUGACUUACAACUUUCCCUU